This 44517-nucleotide long non-coding RNA is filed under the name Vigna radiata. RNAcentral's name for it is "long non-coding RNA (VRAD_LNC001301)". The record is from RNAcentral. Lineage: Eukaryota; Viridiplantae; Streptophyta; Magnoliopsida; Fabales; Fabaceae.
AAUCAUCGAGGUUGCUCUUUUUUCCUUUUUUAGGUGCCUUGAUUGGAGAAUCUUGGAUUUUUAUGGUAUCUCUCUCCUGUUCAUCCAUGGCUUUUUCCACUCUUCUCACCUCCUUUUUUGUCACCAUUGCAUUUGACCCGUCUAUAUAUGUUUUUUUUCCAUGGAAAAGAUGAUUUUUGUUGGUUUAUUUAUAAUCAUGGUGACUCUUCAACAAUGACCUCUUUACCCACUAGAUGUCAACUUGCAAGAAGAGAUUUACAUGGAGCAACCUCUCAGAUUUAUUGCUUAAGAGGAGUCUUUUGGGUUGAUAUUUUGUCUUCUAUGUUGUCUUGCAAAUCAUUAGCAAUUUGGUGUCACUCAAAUGCAAAAACAUAUAUUUUCACUAAGUCUUUAUGGAUUAUAUUAGUAACAAGCUUGGUACAUAUACAAUUUGUAUGCAUUAACUUGAGAGGAUGUGUUAGAUAUAUUAUCUUUAUUUUAUAUUUAUCUUUUAUCUUUCGUUAGUUUAUUAUUAUUAUUUCUUAUUUGUAUUUUGGACUUAGCCCAUAUUUCUUAUAUUAUAAAUAGAUGAUCCUAUGUGUAUAUUCCACACAAGAGAGAUUAAUCCUUUACAUAGUUUUUCACUAUGUUCAUUUCCUUGUGGUUAGUUUAAUAAUUUUUCAUUUGAAACUGUUAACAGAUGUAGGAUUAACAAAGAAUGAGACAUUUAUAGUUUUAGGGUUAUGGCUCUUAAGAUCGAAUGUGGAAGGAGGACUUAUCAUGAUGUUGAGUUUCAUGUGCCUCUGAUGAACUAGAUGUGGCAAAAAUAAGGGAAAAGGAAUGUGAAGGAUGUUCUCGAUGAGAGAUUGAACAAAAAGUUUAAUGUGGAUGAAAUGAGAAACUUGAUCAUUAUGGAGUUGCGGUGAACUAACCUUAAGGAUAAGGAGAGGCCAAAGGCUGUACAAGUGAUAAAAGAUCUUGAGCUCAAAGUCCCAUUUCCAAAGUCUUUGAAUUUAUGUAUUUUAGAAAGAAUUAAGUUGUGUACCUUUCAUGUAAAUUUUAAUAUCACUUUGUAAUUUUUGUUGCUUUUAUGAGAAGUUAUUUAAUGAUUGUCAAAUGUAAGCAAGUAGUUAUGUAAGAUAAUUUCCUUUGAAUAAAGUUUCUAAAUGUUUAAUGAUCUGUUAUAUUUGUGUAAAUGGGUUAAAGGUAAUUUCAUUAUGAAUAUUCACAUGCUGAAGACUUACACUAAUUGAUUAGUUCAAUUAGAAUUAUUUCUUUCUUUUUUUCUCAUAUCUUUAAUGGUGAGAGUUUAGAUUAAGAGGAUUAUUUUAGUGUUAUGAAUUAAAAAAUUGUCUACAUUUUCUUUGCAAUAAAAUAAUUACAAAUAAAAGAGGUUUCAAACCUCCACAAAACAAUAAUAACCAACAAAGAGGUCAUAGUAAACCCUCUACAAAAAAAUCUCCACAAUAUAAAUAAAAUAUUAAGGGUCAUAGUAAACCUCUGCAAAAGAGUGUGGCGAAUGUAUUUGUGGAGGUUUUAAACCUCUGCAAAUUAAUUUGCAGAAGGUAAACCCCACCCUCGCAAAUUGAAAUAAAAACAUCUACAACAUAGUUUUUUUUUGUGUAAUGUGACUCAAUGAUUGACCUACUUAUAGAACUUUUAUUGACAUUUUGAUUCUUUGUUUUUUUUUUUUUUAUGUGGGAUUCUUAGCAUGUCAAAAUGGACCCGUCAGACCCAUUUUUUCCUGUCAAUUGAUGGGUUGGCAAGCUGAAGAAUUUGCCCCAUCCUGCCAAUGAGUGAACUGGUGGGCUAGCCGGUUGGUUCACCACCCUUUCCCCCAACUGUUUUUUUCUUUCGUUUAAAACUCAAAAUAGUGUUGGACAUUUUAACUCGGACAUCAAACAAACACAAUUUAUACGAAAUAUAUUCAUUUGAACAACAAGUAAAUCUAGAAAGUAGUAAAGCAUAAUACACAAAUAUAUAUUUAUCUAUUCAUUGACGGUUCAUAUAUGUAAUCUGACUCACCUUUUCCUUGGCAAGCUGGCAGGCUGACCUAUCAGGUUUAAUAUACUUUUACAUUUCUAAGAAUUCUUGAUUAUAAGAUAUUUUUGUCCAACCCAAGUGUUAUAAACUAAAUGAAUUUGAAAGACUUACUUAUCGUGAUAGAGUUAAUAAUAAUUAUAUAUAAGUAUUUAUAUGAUCUAAAAUAUAUUAUCAAUGCUACUAGUUUCUAUUACACCAUUUCCUUAUAUUAUUUAAAUGUAUGUCUUUAUAUCUUUAUGUGUUAUCUAAAUUUAAAUGUUAUACAUAAUUUUGCAGUCAUUUUCUAAAUUAAGUAAUCCAAGUGAAAUAAUGAAUAGAUUAAUUGAGAUUAUUUAGGGUGUAUUUUUUUCCAUAUUAAUUAUUUGUGAAAGAGUAAGUGAAAAUGAUAUAUUUGUUUGUUUAAAGGGAUUUGUGGGUAAACGGUGGAGAAUAUUUGAAGGAGAAACAUGAGAUUCUAUUUCUCUUUAAGGUGUGGUGAUAUGAGAGGAUGAAGAAUAUAAUUACCAAACAAAUCUUUGAUUUUUUUUUUCUAAAAUUUACAAUCUUUAUUUAUGAUAACUAAUAAUAAUAACAAUAAUAAUAAUAAUGAAAUAUAAAGUAUUUAAAAAUAAUAUUAAUGAAGAAUAUUUUAACCAAUCAUAUUUUAUUUUAAAUUAAUUACACCUAUUAACUUUUUUAUAAAAAAAUAUUCAAGUUUCAUUUUUAAUUAAUUUUAAUUAAUAGUAUUUUAUUUCUAUUAAUUUUAAUCAUGAGAAAAAAAUAUGCAAUUUUACUACUUAAUUUAUUAAAAUGUUUUUUUUUUUAUCUCACAAUCCAAUCAUUCACAAAAUUUUAUAAAUUUCACCUCCAAAUUUCUUUUACCUUAACUUCGACAUCUCUUAAAAAAACAACUAUAUACCUUCUUAUACUUCACUGUCUCUAUGAUCCAUACACUUACACUUCCUUCCAUCGUAUCCUAAAAGGAAUAUAGCCUUAAUGAAGCAUAACAAACGCAUUUAUGCAUGAACAAGGUGCAUUUUCUAACCAAUUUUCCUGUUUUUCUUUGCUUUUAUUAAGUAUUGAAGAACCUUGACAUGACACUUUGCUACCAAACCUAAUAAAAAGUACACGAAAAGAGGACCAUGUUGAUGGAAAGUAAAAUCAUAAAUUGGAUUGUACAAAUGAUAGUCACGGUUGUAAAGUAUGGACACAUUUUUUAACUUUUUUUUUUCAUGUUUCAUAAAUAUAGAGAAUAAAUAUGUUUUUAAUUUUUCAAUUUUAAGUGAGAAUUAAAAUUAGUUUAGUUUUAACAUUUUAAUUUAAUUUAAUUUUUUAACUUUAGAAAUACAUGAAUUUAUUUUUUUUUAACUAAAUUUUGUUAAAUUUAUUUGAUAUUUCAAAUAUAUUUUAUGAUAAUAUUUGAGUUGUUUAUUUUAAAACAUUUUUUUCAAUGUUAAUAGAGAAACAUAUUUAAAACUUCAAAUAAAUUUAAUAAAAUUUGAUUAAAAAAAUAUGUCAUUAUAAAAAUAACAAACUAAAUUAAUCUAAAAUUUAAAAAAAGACUAAUUUUAAUUUUUCUCCAAAGUUAAAAAUAUAUUUAAUCCAAGAAAACAAUAAUAAGUUGGGAUCAAUAAAAGCAAGAGUCACAAAUCUGACUUCAAACAUUUAGGCUAUGUUCACAUCAACAUGUUAGACUGUUCAAGAGGAAAAAUUUGGACGGAUUUGCGAGAUACACUGUAUUUGUUUCAAUCGAUAUAUGAAGAUGAAUUUGAGCUGAUUUGCGAUAUAUGCUUAAUUGCUUAUUUUUGUCCCCAGUUUUGCUCAAGUGUAUCAAUUAGGUCCAAUCGUUGAAAGGAUUGUCAAAUGUGUCCUCACUUCGUAAAUUUUGCGUCAACGAAGUCCCUUCCGUUAAAUAGAAAUAAACAAAGUUAAGGGAUUGAUGAUAUGGUAGAAGACAUUGCUAACGUGUUAUUUUGUAGGUGUAUUUGUGCUGACGUGUUAGUAAAUUAGAGGUUGACGUGAAAAGUAACUUACCCUUCACGCACCAUUGCCUUGAUUCUUCCAUCAUUUCAUCUUCUUUCACUUUCUCUUGCUAAAAAAAACUACUCAUUUUGUCUCUCAACAACAUCAUCACAAACAAAUUCAUCAACCUCAUUCAUCACUCCCAGUAACACUCAGAUUCAUCACCCAAUAUCACCACCUUCACUCUUACCUUAGAAAAUCUCCAUCAUCCUCAUAUAAUCACCUACACAUUCAAACCCAACCAAAAUAGGGAAAAAAAUGAAAAAGGAAGAAAAUAGUCGUUGACAGUGAUUUUUAACUUCGAAUAGAAGUAGUUGAACUCCUUUAUCAGGCACAAAAGGGAAAAAUGAGAAGGUUGAACUGUCGCACGAGAUGGUGGAUGGUCGAGCUUGAUGAUCGUCAUGGUGGCUGGUUCGGUGGAAGAAGGUUCUACGCGAUAAAGGAUUAAGAUAGUGGUCUUGGAGAAGCUUUUGGCCAGUAAGGAGGAGCAACGACCUUGGCUUGGCCACAACAAUGACUUGCGCAGGAGAACAUCGUUGACGGCGCCGGUAACCUCGUUAGUCCAAGUCGUUGAGACGAUGAGCGGUAGAGGCGCGAGCAACGAUGUCGCUAGCGAUGCUUCACGGUGUCAGAGCUUACCUCAAACGCGUACGGAGGGAGAACUCAUAGUGGCUGGUGUGACACCCGGGCACUGACGAGGGCGGGGAGUGAUCGCCGGUGCAAUAAGCAUGGUGCAGGGGCAUAGACAAGGAGCGACUCCUGGCAGGCUUCCAGUGGAAGGGGCACAUGGACGAAUCGAACAUACACCAGAAUGAGAGGGAUCUGGAGAUUGUAUAGGUAUGGGACUAUACAGUUGAAGGAUAGCUUAAAGGAAUUGAUUUGACUACUCAUAUUAACAAAUGCAUUUUCUUUUCGGUAGCCUAUCUCAUAAGAACUCCAUGGUUAAGCGUGCUUAGCCUAGAGUAAUUAUGGGAUGGGUGACCUUCCGGGAAGUUUUCUCGGAAAGUGUGUGAGUGAGGACAAAGCACACUGGAAAGCCUCGUGUUGAUGUGUGGGGGCAGUCAGCAGUCCCUGUAAGUUGCCGGGGUGUUACAAAUGGUAUCAGAGCCUAGCCUCUCCCAGUACGGUGUGGUUCGAGGACGAACCAGACGGAAGCUGGUGGGCAUGUGACACCCGGGCACUGGCGAGGGCGGAGAGUGAUCGCCGGUGCAAGAAGCAUGGUGUAGGGGCACGGACAAGGAGCGACUCCUGAAGGAUAGCUUAAAGGAAUUGAUUUGACUACUCAUAUCAACAAAUGCAUUUGCUUUUCGGUAGCCUAACUCAUAAGAACUCCAUGGUUAAGNGUGCUUAGCCUAGAGUAAUUAUGGGAUGGGUGACCUUCNGGGAAGUUUUCUCGGAAAGUGUGUGAGUGAGGACAAAGCACACUGGAAAGCCUCGUGUUGAUGUGUGGGGGCAGUCAACAGUCCCUGUAAGUUGUCGGGGCGUUACAACUGGCGGUGUCUUUAGCAACAAUCGAUGUUGCUGACGAUAGUUUUGGUCGGCCAGAGGGAGGCAUGGCGACAUUGGUCAUGCGGAGGGUAGAGCUGUCGUUAAUGAAGGUGGAAAAGAGAACUAACUUCAUUUCUGAAAAGAAAAAAGAAACCCUACUAGCUUUUAAUCUGAAGAGAAAGAAAAGAGGGCUUGGGCCUGAACCAAAAAAUACCAAGUGCACCCCUAAAUUUCAUAUCUGCACCCAUUCACUAACACGUCAACACAAAUACACCUACAAAAUAACAUUUUAGCACUGUCUUUUGCCAUAUCACCUAUCCCUUAACUAUGUUUGUUUCUAUUUAACGGAAGGGACUUCGUUGACACAAUUUACAAAGUGAGAACGCAUUUGACACUCUUUUCAAAGGUUAGACCUAAUUGAUACACUUGAGCAAAAUUGGAGACAAAAUAAGCAAUUAAACCUUAUAUAUAUAUAUAUAUAUAUAUAUAUAUAUAUAUAUAUAUAUAUAUAUAUAUAUAUAUAUAUAUAUACUUAGUGAUGUAUUUGUAUAUAUGUACGUAGGCACAUAUUUAUAUAUAUAAAUAUGUGACAUAUGUGUGUGUAUAUAUACAUGCGCACAUAUAUGUGUAUAUAUGUACGUGAGCACAUAUGUAUAUAUAUGUAUGUAAGCAUAUAUGUAUAUAUAUGUACAUAGGCACAUCUUUUUAUAUAAGUAUGUGGACACAUAUGUGUAUAUAUGUACGUAAGCAUACAUUUGUAUAUAUGUUCAUCGACACAUAUUUGUAUAUAUGUAACUGCGGACAUAUGUGUGUAUAUGUAUGUGUGCACAUAUGUGUUAUAUUGAUUGGGUGGCAAAUCACAAGUUCAACCAAGCAUAAGUUAGUGAAACUUCAAAAUAUGAUUUGCUAGAUAGUCUAGUCUCGGUAGACAAUCCUCAUAGAGAAAAACUAUUGAUCUCCAACAACCUUAGGUAUUUAGUCACCAUUUCUUUGAUUUCUCAAUAGACUUCCUUAAUUCUCUUUUGGUCGUCUAUUUUUUACAGUAUAAAAGUUAUUUCAUUCCAGAUGGAACUGAAUUCCAUGAUAAUGUUUGAUUCCUUAUAGAGAUUAUAGAUGUAAUCAACCUUAACAUUCAAAUUGGUUAUCCACUCCAUGCAUUUAAAAUCUUGAGGAUACAGUAGUAAAUCUUCAACGUCACUUUUUCAUUGUAUGAGCUACAAUGUAUUCCCAAAGUUAUUUUCAUGACAUCUGGUACAAUAAAACCAAAAUUUAACAAUGUAAUUAAAAUUGCUAAACUUUACCUUUGGUGAAUGAUCAAUAAUAUUUGUAAAAUAAACUCUGACAUUAUCGACAAGUUCACAAUAUUUGAAAAAUUCAUGGGCAAAUCUUUGGUGAGAUUUUAGUUGAGCAUUCACACUUACUGAUUAGUUAAUUAGUAACUUAGUAAGCAUGUAUACCUAAUGCCUUUAACAAUAGCAAUAUAUUUAUCACAAACCACACUCACUAACUCAAUCCUGUAAGGUAAUCGAGUACUUGUUUUUUCCAUAGAAGUUUCCCGUGUUUAUUUUAUGUUAUAGAUGGAGUCAUUGCACCAUCAUUAUAUAUGUUAUUCUUACACAUCUAUCUAUUUUCCAUGAGAUAAAUUUUAUAAAACAAUCAACAGAGAAUUAUCAUAUAUUGAUAAUAGGUCGAGAGUUACUCCUUAAGGAUGGUGUCACGGAUGGUGCUUUUUCCUGCAACCAUGCCUCCUUCCAAAAACAACAAUACCAAAAUUCUCUCUGUAAGCUGUUAGGAAGAAAAAUAAUGCUGAGGUGUCUACUAAUGUUGAUGCUGAAAUAGAGGGCCACAUGGAAGAUAUAAUGCACAAGGAGACAAAUCCAGAGUUAGUUAUUGGAAGGGGACAACUGGCAAACAAUUGUGAAAUCAAGGAACCAAGAAGGAGCAGCAGAAAGAGAAUAUCAAAUAGGAGGUUACAGGACUUGGGGUAGCAUGAAAAAUCUGUGGUACAACUCUCCCUCUUAGAUUCUCCCUUCUCUCUCCUGUAACAAAUUCCCUAAUUCUUACAUUCUCUUCUCAGGUACUGUGCCUCUGGAAAGGAAGCCAUGACCGUGGCUAUCCUCUCUGCUAGAGGGAUCUUUUUAGAGAUGAUAGGAAACGUGUGGAAUGUCUGCAAUAAUUCAUUUAUGAUUGUAUUGACUUUUCUUCAUUAGAAAUAUACAACCAGCACAGUUUAUUUGCAGAGUGUUUGUUAAAAUUUAUUUGCUGUAUAACAUAAGCAUUAUUUAUUAACUGCAUCGAUGCAGUGGUUUCAUUUCUUCCAUUAAAAUGAAGAAUGUUCUAGUCACUCACUUAUUCAUAUAUAAUCUUUCAAAUCAUAUUUUCCUGGCACAAUAUUAGGGACAACAAAUAUUUAAAUAAAUAUGUAUUUUCUUACAUAAUGUGUUUCUCACAUAUUUAGAAGAAAUAUAUAUUCUUAAUAUUUAAAAAACUUUUAGCUCCAUAGUAAUGAUAUGACAUGAUUUAUUUUAAAAAAAUUGUAAGGAUUAAAGAAAAUAAAAUUUUACCUUGUAGCUGCCAGUAUUAUUUCUUUUAAGGGAAAAUUUCACACUUAAAACCUAUAACCAAUAAAAAAAAUGAGAUCAUUAAUAUAGUAAGUUGAAAAUAUAUGCAUGAAAAGAAUAUGAUGUUUUACUAGAUUAGGAAAGAUAAUAUGAAAUUCAAAUUAUUAUUUUUCAUUGUAUGUUGGCAAAGCAAAACCAACCAUGAUAAAAUUUCCAUCUAGUCUUAUACUGAAAUAUAUUUUUGUUAAAGUUUAUUUAAAAAAAAGUAAGAAAAAUAAAUGAAUAAUAAAAAGAACUAAGAAUUAUACUUCGCUAAUGACAGAUGAAACUUAAUCUCAGUUAAAGGAAAAAUAGCUCAAAAUACAUCUUUCAAAUUCAUGUUCUAGCUUUGUAAACAAAUAAUAUGUUCUCGUCACCGCCAUGGGAAAUAUAUUCAUAAAUUCUCUCAUCACAUCAUUCAAAUCUUUUCAAAACUUUUUGGACUAGUAUGCACAAAAGUGGAACAUUUUUAGCAUCUUCAAAUCCUAAUUGUCUUGCUACAAACACAUGAAUAACAUUAUAUAAAAUACAUUAGCCAAAACAUGUAGGUGGACACAAAUUUGUAUAUGUGUACGUGACACAUAUUUAUUGUGGGCAUAUAUUUGUACAUACAUACAUACACAUACAUAUAUAUAUAUAUAUAUAUAUAUAUAUAUAUAUAUAUAUAUAUAUAUAUGUGUGUGUGUGUGUGUGUGUGUGUGUAUAAAUGUAAACACAUUUUUAUUUAUAUGAACAUGCGACAUAUGUGUGUAUAUAUGUACGUGAAUAUAUAUGUGUAUAAAUUAACGUUCACACAUAUGUGCAUAUAUGUAUGUGCGCACAUAUGUAUAUAUAUACAUGUACAUAAACACAUCUUUGUAUAUAUGUAUGUAGGCAAAUAUUUAUAUAUAUACUAAGGAACAUAUUUGUAUAUAUGUACGUAGGGACAUAUUUAUAUAUAUGAACGUGACAUAUGUUUGUAUAUAUGUACAUGCGCACAUAUAUGUAUAUAUGGGUGUAUGCACAUAUAUACGUAUAUAUGAUCAUUUGGGGAUUUCUCCCAAUUCUCUCAAUAAUAGGAGUUAGGGUUCGUGAGCCAGCAAAAAGGCGAAGCAAAGAAGCAUUCCAUGGAAUAUUGUGGACGAAACCUAGAAGAUUGAUCGAACCGGAAGCUGGUUAAAGGCACGUGCGAAUCGGUUGGCAGUUGAAGAGCGAAAUGGUUCAGAGUUCGUUGAAGACUCGAGAAGCUUACGAGUUUAAAGUUCUUCCCCCUUUCCCCUAUUUUUUUCUACUUUCUUUUCUUUUUUGUUUUCUGACUUUCCCUAUAGAAAGGGAAGUCUUGUAAUAUAGAAUGCACGAGUAGUGAGUGACAAACUCCACUUAAACUAGGUUUUCAAUCUCUCCUGCUUUAGUUCAAAUUUUCAAAGCUUUCUUAGAAUAGAUAUGAUGUUCAUCGCUAGUGGAUUUCGUAGAGAAUUCUCAUGUGGGUGAUAGGCCGUGAGGUUUCUCUGUGAUCUUCGGUACAACUCUUGUAAUUCAGUUUUAAAUCUUAAUACAUUUCAAUUAUGUAAUCUUUUCUUUGCAAAAGUUUAUGCUUAUUGUUCUUUAAAUUUUGAUGGUGCAAUUUAGAUUUUCGUUCUAGUCAUGUUAUUUUGUUUUGUUCUAUUGUUCUUUAUCUUUUGCGAUAUGUGAUACUUUGUAGAAUAGGUGAUUCUUUAUCUUGAAAUUUAGUGUUUCUAUUUCAUUUGAUAAAUGCAACUGUAGUUUAGGAAGUCAUUUCCUUUUUGUUUUAGAAAUUAUGAUCUAAAUCUUGUUCUGUUUGAGUAAGUUUAUAUGUUUUAAGAUUAGUGACAAAUAUGGAUUUAUUGUUUUUCUGGUUUGUUCUAUCGCAUCAAUUUUCUUGCUUGCAAUUUGAUUUUACGAUUGAUGUACUCUUUUCUUUCAUUUCAGUUAUGCUUUAUGUCAUUCUUUAGUUCAAUAUCAUGCAUUGCAAUUUGCCUCCAUUUUUGUAGAAUGGUCAUAGGUAGAUACUUAUCAUUCAUUCAUCCCAUUCCAUAGUUUCAUGCAUUUAGUAGUUAUUAUCUACAUUAUUCAUUCUUUGCAUCAAUCUAUAUUAGGUGUUAUGCAUUCAUUUAAGUAGAUACAUGCAGUAUUAGUUAGUUUCAUAUUUUAGAUUACAAUUUUCAUUUUCUUUCCCCACCUAGUUUUAGUUUUUAAUAAAUAAAUAAUUAGGUUUAAUUCUAUAAUUCUAGAUUUAAUUAGCUUAGUCCAAUGAUUGAUUUCCUAGGUUGCCCCUAUACUACAUUAGUGGGACUAGGAUUGUUGAGUUUUUGUGCGACCAAAAGCUGUUCAACAUAUUGCUACAAGCAAAUGAAUAACACAUAUAAAAAAUAUUAGCCAAAACAUGUAGCACGACACAUAUCUUUACAUAUGUACGUGAACACAUAUUUGUAUAUAUGUAUGUGCGCAACUAUGUUGGAUGUAAAAUCAAAAACAGAUUCAGUUACAUUUUCUCAUGUAUAAAGUUGUAAAACAUUUCAAAAAUUAAAUACAGAAAAAAAACCAUUUCAGUGUACCUUGUGUAUACUUGAUUUCUGUCUAAUACUUUCUCUCCUCUUCAUUUUUUAUUUCUUCUUCCCCUAGAGCUUCUCUUUCUUCUUCUUCUCUCUGGAAUCUGUGACUUUCUUUUCUUUCCUCUGAAACCCUAGAACCUAUUUGUACAUAUGUACGUGUACACAUAUUUGUACAUAUGUAUGUGCAAACAUAUGUGUGUGUAUAUACAUGGGCUUACAUUUGUAUAUAUAUACUUGGAAACAUAUUUCUAUAUAUAUACGUGGACAUAUAUUUGUUUGUGUGCAUAUAUUUGUGUGUGUAUAUAUAUAUAUAUAUAUAUAUAUAUAUAUAUAUAUAUAUGUAUGUAUGUAUGUAUGUACACAAACACAUCUUUGUAUAUAUGUACGUGAUAAUGGUAAUUUUUACCAUUAUCUGGUGCAAUUUUCUUGUCAAAUCAACACUCCUGAAGCUUGAAACACGCUUGAUCCUCUUCUUAAUCUAACUUUGUGAAUAAACUUAGCUUAGGUUACACACUUUAGUUUUCAUCUUUUUUCCUCAAAUUUUGUAGGAACUUUGAGUACUUUAGAAAGGCAUUCAAGUUAUAAAGAGUGGAGAACCAAGGGAGAACCACAAAAGAAGAAGUCCACAAGAAGCUCACCAGGAAAACUGGCGCUGGGCGCCACCCAUUUCACGCUGGGCGUGAAAACUCACUGUUUCCAGGAGUAUUUCACGCUGGGCGCCAUCCAUAUCACGCUGGGCGUGAAAACUCACUGUUUUCAGGAGCAUUUCACGUUGGGCGCCACUUUAAUGGCGCUGGGCGCGAGUUUUCUGAUGUGGCACCCUACCCUAUAAAAGGCACACAAUUUUUUAGGGUUGAGAAACUUCUUGGCGGCUAAGACCUGGGGAAGCGUUCUUGCACCUCUUGGAGGUAGUUUUGGACAGUGGGAGCUCUCCUUUUCUUCUCCUUGAGUCUCUUCUUCACCAUUUUCAUUCCAUUGUUAAGUUCAUUUUUGUUGGAGAGUGAUGUAAACUAAGAACUUCUUGUAAACGCACUUGUUUUUAAAUGAAAAAUGCUUCAUUCAUUGCUUGUUGGUGUUUUAGUCUUUUACUUAAUGCUAGUUAUGACUUGAUCAACCAUAGCUUGAUUGUGGGGUUUACUUAAGGUUGGGAAACAUUGGGUGAACCUUGAACUAGACUAAACACCUAAGGGAAAUAGUGUCUAGGGAUAGAGCUAGGACCGUUAGUUUUCAUAAACUUCUUUUCUUAAUGUGGGUGAGUUUGUUGGAUUACCAAGGGAUUGGGGUGUAACAAAUGAACCUAGGCUAUCUCACCAAGGGAUUGAGUUUUAGUAAGUUAGCUAGUUGACAAGAACAAGUAAUUGAAGAAGAGUGGUGUAGUGCAUUUGCAUAGGAUGGAAUUAGUUGAAAUCAUUCUCCAACAUAUUCAUUCCACAUAUUUAUCAAUCAUCUCAUUUUCACGUGUUUUGGCCCCAAGUAGUUCAAAUUUUUACUUAUGCAUAACUUUUACUUUCAUUACACAAUCUCAAACUAAAAUGGAACCAUUCUUUAGCUUAAAUUAGUUAGUAAUUAUACGAUAGUAAAGUAAUAACGAAGUCUCUUGGGAAACGAUAUCCGGUCUUACCGGUUUUACUACUUGCACGACUUGGUACACUUGCCAAAGUCUCAACAGUACGUAAGGACACAUUUUUACAUGUGAACGUGUGACAUAUGUAUGUAUAUAUCUACGUGCGCACAUAUAUGUAUAUAUGUACUUGUGCACAUAUAUGUAUAUAUGUAGAUUUAAGUCCAAAUAGUCUCUGUCCAUAGUUUGUAAAGGUCAAAAGAAACUUUGUUCACAUUUGACUUGUGGUUGGGGUUUUGAAAUUGGAUCCAGUUUUAACUAAUUUCUUUGUUUUGUGCCUAUUGUGAUGUGUGUUGCUAUGGUUUUAAAUGGAAUGUUUGGAUUGAACUAAAGUGAAAGCUCUGCUGUUUUUACAAGUGUGGACACUUUCGUCAGGAUUUUGCUUUGUUACAUUUUCGGAGCACAUUAAUUUUGUUAUGACUUUACAUUUUAUGGCAAGUAACAAUUGCCUUCUUAGUGCAUCUCUUGACGGGACCAUUCCUGCAUGGGAUUUAUUACGCUACCGAAAUUUUAGGACCUUUACAACCCGUUCUUCUAGACAGUUUGUUUCCUUGACAACUGAUCAAAGUGGUGAAGUGAUAUGUGCAGACACUUUAGAUUCCUUUGAGGUAUAGUUUUGUACAAAUUAGGUUGGUUCUAACUAUUUCAUUAUUAUUUUACCAUUCACCCUUUUUACUCAAUCAUAUGUGUAACAGAUUUUUGUUUGGUCCAUGAGAACGGGACCCUUGUUGGAUGUGCUUAGUGCUCAUGAAGCUCCUGUUCAUGGGCUGGUCUUUUCUCCUACAAAUGUUAGUUAUAUUUUCUUCUGCUGAUAUUUGCUUGCAUAAGUUGAUUUCUUAUCUUGUGUAGUAUUUUUAACCGGUUCCAAGUUUCCUCUUUGGUAGAAAUUUAUGUCAACUCAUGUUUCAUGUUCUCAGUUUAUAAAAGGUUUAAUCCAUUUAGUUGUUCCUAUUUUCGGGAGGUUUUCCCAUUUUGAUCCUCGUCUUAUUCGAAUCCCCAAUUGAGUCCCUAUAAGUGCUAAUUUCAAUCAAUUAAGCCCCUGCCAUUAAAUUUAGUUAACGAGAUUAACUUUUUUGCACAACUGGGAGGAUGAGCUGUUAAUUUCUAUAAACGUGGCCUAUUUAGAGUUGAAACGUGGCAUGAAUUGAGUCCCAUAAGUGCUAAUUUCAAUCAAUUUCAGCUCUAAUUUAUGCCACGUUUCAACUCUAAAUAGGCCACGGUUACAGAAAUUAACAGGUCAUCCUUCCAGUUGUGCAAAAAAGUUAACCCCGUUACCUAAAUUUAACGGCAGGGGCUUAAUUGAUUGAAAUUAACACUUAUAGGGACUCAAUUGGGAAUUCUAAUAAGACGGGGAUCAAAAUGGGAAAACCUUCCAAAAAUAAGGACAACUAAAUGGUUUAAACCUUUAUAAAAUGAUAUUAUCUUUUAAGCAUGUAGCACAUCAUCAAACAUCAAUAAUUUUAUUAUUUCUUGAUAUAUAUGACUUAUGAAAGACAAACAAAAAUAAAGUAACUAAAAAGGAAAACAUAAGGAAAAGAGAAUAACAAAAAUAGAACUAGCGAGCAGAAGAAAUAAUAAAGAAGAAAAGAUAAAGAAAAAGAAAAAUGACUUAUGAACUCAGAAGAAAAGUCAAAUUUAUAAACUUUUGCACAGUGAAAAAGACUCACCCACCAUAAAGCUCUCUCAAAACAUUUCAAAAAAGGCUUACAUUUCGUAAGAAUGCAAAGUCUCACACAACGUGGUCAAGCGGUCCUCUUAAAGCCAAAAGUUUCACUAUGUUAACAGUCUCAACCCCUACUACUAUUACCAUAUCAAUCGUACGAGUAAAAGAAAAGAAUUCGAAAAAUAAAAAAACAACUCAAGAAUACAAAAUAAUCAUGAAAAUUGAAUAUACCAUUGGCUUUUUUGAGAAUUUUUUGCAUACAUUCAUUAUUUCAAAAGAAAAUCAAAAUACAUCACACGCAUUGUAAAUAUUGAAAAGGAAAAAUAAAAUUCAUAGCAUAUGUGUAAAGUUAUUUUCUUUAUGUUUUUCGGAUUAAUGGUCAUUAUAUUAAUGACCUACAUAUUCAUUAUAAAAAAAUUAGAAAAAGAAAAAUGAAAAAAGAAACUAAAAUCAAUUUUUUAAUAUUUUCAUUAAUCUUUAUUGUGAUAAAAAAAAAACAGUUUUCAAGCUCGUUACGUCCAGUUGCCCUGUAUGGUUUCUUUGAGCCCAAAUUCUUUGAAUUUUUAAAAAGAAAAAGAUUAUAAAAAUUAUAAAAAGAUUUCUUUUAAUAUGUUUCAUUAUUUUCACAUUAUAUAACAUUUUUUCGUAUAUAAUAAUUUGAAAUCAAUUCAAAGAAAGUAAAAAAAGAAAAAGAAAGAAAAAGAAUAGUUAGAAUCUGUAAAGACUGGGGAAGUUAGCCUAAAGGAGGACAAGUGGUAACAGGUAAAUGGGAGAAAUUGUUUAAAUAUAAAAUAAUAUAAAACCAAAACUCGGAGUUUUUCCCUUUACCUGAGAAAAACUUUCUUUCUCUCCAAGCUCUACCGUUUUCUCAUAUGUUCUUCUCCUCUCUUCUCUGCCUUCUCUCCUCCAUUCCUCCUCACUGAACCGUUAGUAUUUUUAUUAGUGGUGCCCAAGCAUUCCCGGCAUGGAGAGCUUUGAAUCUGACCGAUUAACUUUUAGUUUCUCAACGGGUAAGUUGUUCUUCUCUUCCUCCAUGCUUUUAGGGUUGUGAGCAUGCAACAAUUUUUUCGUGCAUAUGGUUUUUUAGUUUCUUUUCUCCACCUUCUAGCUCAAACUACGUAUUAAGAGCUGUUCUUGACCACCAAAUGGUGAUUUGUAGGUCCUGUUGAGUUCAUCGCUCUGUGAGGCACUGUUUAGAGUGUUCCAGUGAGUUGUGCUGUGAAUAUGAGGUAAGGGGAGCUAGAAUACUUCUUUAUUUUUUUUUGGUAUGAUAUGAAUGUGUUGGUUGGUAUCAAUCAGAGAAUAACGCAGCGAAAUAAAAUUUAUAAAACGGAGAGCGUGUUCAGUCACAAGUUAUAUAAAAAUGGUCAGUUUUACAAGUAAACUUUCUAAUAGAAAAUUUAUCGAACAAUUGAUGUGCAUAAAACAGUAAGGAGUGUAGGGAGUAGAAAAAUCACACAGAUAAUUUUUAUACUGGUUCGAUUCAAAAGAAUCUACGUCCAGUCGUUAAUCAUUAUAAAAAGUGAUUAACCGUUUCACUAAAAAAUCAGUUUCACAAAUUUACAAUAAGUGAAUGAAAAUAAGAGAUAAAAGAACCUUCCUUCGACAAAUGAACCAGAAGAUAACUACUUUGUCAACUCGAAGAGAACCGCUCCGACUUUCGACAAAUGAAAUGCGAGCUUCUCCUAUUCACGAGACCAGACAAAGUACACUUUGCCAACUCAAAGAGAACCGCUCUGACUUUAGACAAAUGAAACGAGCUUCUCUUAUUCACGAGACCAGGCAAAACACCUUACCAACUCGAAGAGAACCGCUUCGACUAUCGACAAACGAAACGUGAACUUCUCCUAUUCACGAGACCAAACAAGGGAGUUGAACUAGCUUUAGAGAACUUCCUCAGACAAACUGUAUUCUGCAAAAGAUCUAAGUUCAAAAGUUAUUUUCUAAAGUUCUCAAAAGACCUAUCUAUAGCCAGCUAGUCUGAAUAUGAAAGGUCAUGCCGCAACUACCAGUAAUAAUCGAUUAUUGUAAGUAAUAAUCGAUUAUUCAAGUCCGUUACAAGUUUUCAAAAUAACUUGGGCAGUUUUCAAAACAGACCUGUGAUAAUCGAUUAUUUGGAGUGAUAAUCUAUUAUUUCAGAGCAACAAGGUUUUUCAGAAAGGCUCAGGAUAAUCGAUUAUUACUCAUCAUAUUUAAGACUUUCCUAAUACAUUUAUAUUCUACAAAGUGCUUUUAAAGAUAAGUUAUGACAUCUUCUUCAAGUCUAUCUUCUUGGAGCAUCAUCAAAAUUAUUAUCUUCUAGCUUUACCAAUGUCCCUCAUUGGUAACAAAAUGUAUGUUAAAAUCUGACUCUGUGUGUUGCUUUAGAAUAAUAUUUUAGGUCUGAUAUGUAUAUGGUGUGGCUUGUGCAGAAACUGAAUUCUAUGAAGCUGUGUUGUGAUGUUUAUAAUUGUUUUGGAUGAAUCUUGUUAUUGUAAUUUGAGCAUGUUGGAAGUGCUUGGAGUGAAAAAUCUGUUAUAGUUGAAUUAAAUGGAAAGUUAAGUGAAAUUAUAGUGUUUUAGGGCAAAUUGGAGGAAGUGAGGUAGUAAUUUUGGGCUUGAGUGGUCUUGAGUACAAUUGGAUUGUUUGGGUAGCUCAGAUAGGUCAAUUGUGACUUGUUAGGAACUUUAAACUGGCCAAAAACAUGUUAAAAGUGGUAUAAUUAAAAUUGGGUCUUCAAGUUGUUGAAUUUGGUCUUUUAGAGCAAGAACUGAGUCUUAAACCUUUUAGAUUGACUGUAGGGAUGUUUAAAAUCAAUUAGACAAGUAUAAUCAGGGUUAAAACUCAAAUUAGGGGUGUUAGAAGUUAGGGAAUUGCACUACAAAUGGUAAGAGGGUGUGUGAGUGCAUAAUUCUGUAGAACUUGCAUUCUGCAAAUUAUGCAGUCUCGCUAUGCGGAUGGUUUUGCAUAGCGAGACCCUGUAGAAGGGUGCUCGCUGUUUAGUCAUUCGAUGUGCGAAAUGGUGCGUUGUGCGAAUGACUAGAGAGUGCUGCUCUCUGCCUGGUGAUUCGCAUAGCGAAUCUAUUCGUUAUGCGAUUGGGAGGAGUCUGGGGUUGCAUUUUAGGGGGUUGGUCUCUGUCUGGGCUCUCGCAUAGCGACCUGGGUGCGCUAUGCGAGAGACCUAAGGUUUAGGCAUCUCUGCGAGCUAAUUCGCUAUGUGAAUUAGGGUGCGUUGUGCGAGACCAUCCUGUCUCGCCUUGCGAAUAGGGUACGCCGUGCGAAUUCCUUGAGUCCAGAUUUCUCUUUUGCUCUUGUUUUGGUUGAAUUAAGUGUGUGUAAUGAUUGAAAUGCAUAGUAUGAUGGUGGUAAUGUUAUUAAAUUGAAAGUAUGUGAUUGUAUGAGUCAUGUUUGAUGGUUGAACGUAACAAGUGUGGUUAUUGGACGUAAUUCCAUGAUCCUCAAGGAGAGGAUCCAUGGUGGCCCUUCUAGUGUGUUUUAGAAUGAUUUGCAUGGAAGCUCACUCUUGGGGAUCCUAAAACUACAAUGGUCAAUCAUUCUCAAGUAGAGAGGAUUGAACCAUGUCGUGAGUAGUAGCAGGAGGUCUUAGUCUUGGAGGCUUCUAGUAUCCUCCAAGGCGCGGUACAGACUAACCUCGUGAGUGUGGUAGGGUGAAACCCAUUGGCAACAACUUUACAAAGUAGUAGAGGCCACCACGAGUGCAUGACCCGCCAUAGCUCGACAAUCAUUCUAUGUCUGGUUUAAAGUGUAACAAGUCUUGUAGUGCAAUUCAUUAUACUUGAAUGAAAUUUGCAUGUUGUGUGUGAUUGUAUAACAUGAUUUUUGUAUAUCUAGCUCACAUUUUCUGCUUGUUAGUGUCUUGCUUGUGUUGUGUGCUUCUUUCGUAAUGAUAAUCUACUUGGAUGUGAGCAGAGGGCGAUGAGGUACCCAUGGAGCAGGCAUUGAAGGGCGUAAUGCUGCAGCCUAGUGUCCUAAGGAUUUUUCUUAAUUAUUUUAUGUAUUUUGAAAUACUCUUUAAUACUUAAAGUUUUAAGUUAUGGCUUCUUUUGAGGAUGACUGUAAUUCCUAAGACUUUAUUUACAAGUUUAACUUCUAACUGUUCUCUCAUAUUUGAAUGAUGACGUCUAUACUAUGUUUUCUAUAAUUGGGAUGUCACGUAAUCAAACUCAUAAUAUUUCCAUUUUUCAUUUCUUUCAUGAGAUGAUGAUAAAAAUGUUUUCAACAUAAUAUUGGUUUUUGAGAAUUUUACGCAUAUAUUCAUCAUCCAGAAAGAAAGUCAAAAUACAUCAUGCUUGUAAAUAUUAAAAAAGUAAAUCCAUAGCAUGUUCAUAAAUUUGUUUUCUUGAUAUUUAUUGAAUUGAUGAUUAUCAAUGUAUAAUAAAAUAAAUAAAUAAUUAAAAUGAAAAAAAAAACAUAAUUCAUAUUUUUUGAAGAUUUUCAGUCUCUAACAAAAAUAACAAUUUUCGAAUUCAUAAUCAUACAUCAAACUCAAUUUCUCAAAAGUUCAAAAGAACAAAUGAGCGCAAUAAGAGAAAAACAUAAUCUUUUCAAGAUAGAGCCUGAAGAUGUUGUGAAAAAAAAUAAAUAAAUGAUAAAAAAAAAAGAAAAUUGAAAAUGAAAAGCAUGUUGAAUCUUUUGCUGUCAAAAUCAUCCAAUUCAUGUUUUUUUUUUUUUGUAAAUAAAAUAAAGGUGGGGAAUCUAAGUGUUUCUGCAAUUCAAUGUUUCCAUUGAAGGAUAAUGAAGGUUUUUUUAACAUAUGAUAUGUAUCACCUAAGUCCAUCCACUCUUCUGAGUAAUAAAAAAAAAAUGUCCUAAUAGAUGUUAGUCGUUGUCCAAAAUGAUAAAUGAGAAUAUUGGGAUAAUUUUUUUUUCGAAAUAUUCUCUUAGGUUGAUGGGAAUGAUGAUUAAUUCUGUUAGGCUAAAAAUAAUUAUAAUGAAAAAAUAAGAAAAAAUGAUAAAAGAAUGAUAAAAAAAAAAUGAAGAAGAUAAUGAAAUAUAAAAAAAAAAGUAGAUACCAUUAAAUUUUGUUUAAGAGUUAAUUUUUGUGAAAAUAAAGGAAUGAAGACUUAAGAAGAUGUCUCACGAUCUUUCUCUCCUAACAAAAAUGAAUUAUCUAUUGCACUUUUUAUGGGCUAAAAGUCAUAUUUUUUUUCAAAUUAUCCCUACAGAGGGUCUAGCAGCAUGAUAAGUUCACCUCAAGUCACAAUUAUCAAGAUGCAAAAAGAAAUCAAUAGAAAGGAGUAAGAAAUACAAGAUUAAAUGAAUUAGCAAAAUAUGAAAUCAAAUUAUUCAAGAUCAAGGAGAUAUAAAAAAAAUAAAAUAUGGAAAAAAGAGUUAGAAAAUGGUAAUAAAAUUAUUAGAGAGUGGAUUUAAACCUAACUUAAUCUAACAAAAUUGGAUUAAUGAAGUGGUCUGAUAUCUAAGAUAGGCUCUAAUAUAGCUCUAAAUACCAUAUUAGAAAGUGAAUUUAAACCUAACUUAACCUCAGAAAAGUAGUUUGUAAGAUGAAAUGACUCAAUUAUAUAUUAUAAAUUGACUUUAUUACUGGUGAAUAUUGUACUUCCAACAAAAAUAAAGAAAAAUAAACAAAAUGAGAAUUGAAAAAUGAGAAAAAUAAUCAAGACAACAUUAUGCUUAACUAAAGGCUAAAAUAUUUUAAUAUAGUAAUUUACAAUUGAAUAUUUGCGGUCACUAAAUAUAAUAUUUUAACCAUUAAAUUAAUGACCGAAAUAAAUAUUAUGAUGAUAAAAAACUAUAUUUUUAAUAAGUAAUGAAUAUAAAAAAUAUUUAUUCAUUUAAAAAUAAAUUUGUUAGUAAGUAAUCAAGAUACAUAGUAAAUAAUGACUCUCAAUUUUUUUAAUUAUCAUAUUUAUUAUUAUUUAAAAAUAUGACAUUUUUAAGUAUAAUUUUAUAAUAAAAGAUUAUUUAUUUCUUCUUGAUUAUAUUUUUCCUCUCAUCUAGUUUUCCAAUAUCGUUUGAUCUUUUUUUUUUUCCGCUUUACAAUUUUUCAAGUCCGUCGUAUUUUUAUUUAUCAAAUUCUCUUUUUUUGUGUCUCGUCUUUUCUGUUAUCAGAUUUUCUGUCUUCAAAUAUCUAUUAAUCUUCGUUCUGAAAUUCAUAUUUCCACCCCCCGUUUCUCCAACACAACCAUGAGCUCCUCUCACUCCUUUGAAACAUGUGUAAAAAAUAAACUCAUUAACAUUUAAAAAUAUAAAGAUAAAAUAUUGAUCGAGAUCCUCUACUUGGUAAUGAUGAAUGAUCAUUUAAUAUAUACCGUCUAUGAGAUAUAAGUCUAAUUUGUUUUUAAGAAGAUCAAAAUUAUAGAAAAAGAUAAAGCUUUUUAUUGGAACCCUCUACUUGGUAAUAGUUGUAGAAUCAUUUAAUUCUAAACUCUCAUCUUAGGAUUGGUCUAACAUGUUUUUAAGAAAAUCAAAAUUACAAAAACAAAAACGAUGAAGUUUUGAUCGGACCGUCAACGUAGUAAUUAUUAUUGGAAUUAUUUUAUUCUCUGUUCAUAUCUAUGUAUUUAUGUUCAUAUAUUUUUAUAUUUAUAUUCCUUUUUUAUAUUGCUCUAAAUAAUUAUAUAUAUCAAUUGUACUCUCUCCUUAUUAUUCAAUAAGAAAUACAAUAUUUCAUUCUUUCUUCUUUUCUAACAAUUAUCACUAAAUCCUUUGAACAGAGAUCCUCUCCUUGAGAUGGGUCUAAUCUGUUUGUAAUAAAUAAGGAAUAAAAGAGAGAUUUUUUUUAAUGUAAUAAGUGAGGAGUUUUUGGAAGACCAAAUAUGGUAGCAAUUUGAAGAUUUGAAAGCAAGAGGAUAAAAGAGACUCUUAGAAAUGAGAAAAAGACACUUUAAAUGCUUUACCUGAUCCAAUCUUACAUCUUUUGGUUAUAACAACUGUAUAUUUAAAUUUAUAAAAGUGUUAGGGUAUGUUUUCUUUAGAUAAACGAUUUCAGGGAAAAAGUGAGGUGAUAAAUUUGAGAAAAUUUGAGAGUAAAUUAAUUGUUGUUUAUUUGAGUGAAUUUUGAGGUAAGUGAGAGUCCAUUUAGAAGUAAUGUUUCUAAAAAUUAGUGUAUGAUUUGAUUGAUCUGACAAGAUAAAAAAAAAUUAUUUAAUUGGUAGAAUUUAAAGAUUAUCAAAAUGUUUCUAGUUAUUAAAGUAAUAUAAAAUGAUAAUUAUUAAUGUUAUGUUUAGGUUUAAACCCUUUUUUGGUCCCUAAGUUAAGUUUCGAUAUUCAGUUUAGUGUCUGCUUCUAAAAAUGUCAACCUUUAGUCGAUAUGAUAUGAAAAAUGUAUCCAAUCAGUCCUCAUGACAGCACUUAAUGAACAACAAAUCAGAACUUUUCAUACCUAGGUAUCUAAUAUUUUUUCAUACCUAGGUAUCUAAUAUUUUGUGAUUUGUUAACGGAAGAUGUUAUGAACAACAAAUCACUUAAUGAAAAACUUGUGAUUUGUUAACAGAUAAGACUGAUUUGAUACAUUUUUCAUAUCAUAUCGACUAAAGGUUGACAUUUUUAGAAGCGGACACUAAACUGAAUAUCGGAACUUAACUUAGGGAUUUAAACCUUAUAUUUAAUUGUAAAAAUAUUUAUAGAGAGUAAAAAACUAACAUAAAUUAUUAAAAUUCAUUUUUUAAAUGUAAAAAAGUUAUAAUUUAGUAAAAUGAAUUUAUAUUUAAAUGUAAUAUUUUUUGUAAUAUAAUUUACUAUCAAGUGGUAUGAUUUUAUUUAAUUGUAAAAAUGUAAAGAAAUUAUAAUUUAAUUAUUUCUUUUAAACUUCACCCAAAAAAAUAAUUGCAAAUAAACUUCAAUUACAUAAACCACCAUUAUAACAAUUUUAUUAGACUCAAAUAUAAAUUUAUGAAUUAUAAAAAUGCAUAGUUAAUAACAAUGAAAGAAAAAUAAGUUGAAGUAUUAUUUGGGGUUUGUUUUCUUCACUCCUAAACCAAUGGUGAAAAAAGAGAUUAAUUGGAUGAUGGAACAAUUUUGUGAGUGGUGAAAGAGGUGUAUGAAUACGUGUGGAGCAGUGAAAAUUGAAAUUUUUACUAAUCCUACAUAUCAGUGCAGUGCAGCUUCUAAAUCAAUGAAAACUAACACAAUUUUAGAGUUUCCAAUUUGCUUAAUUAACUCUUUAUUCUCAUACAUCAUCAUAAAAGGUAAGAGUUUUGGUUUAGGUUUCUAUUUUAUUUUAUUUUUGUUUUCAUUUCUUUUAAAUUAUUUUUAUUUAUAUUGGAAAUUCUAAUAACGAUAUCACCACAGCUUUGGUCAACAAGUUGUUAUUUAAUACAGUUAAUCUUAUUAAAAAUGUCAUAUCAGUAAAUAAUUCUUUAGGAAUUAAAAUAAAAAGUAUUUGAUUUCUUAAGACUAAAAUGAAAAUAUAACAUUUUAGGUGAUUAAAACUAACAAAAGUUAGAGAUUAAAAUAAAUAAAAAAUAACAUAUUUAUAAAUACUAAAAACAGAAAACGAUUUAUAAAUAUGUGAAAUAAAAAGUGAUAUGUGUAAAAAUCUAGAAAAUGAUAUUUUAUAAGUGGUAGUGGUUCAAAAUAGUGAGUCAAGAUUAUUUUAAUGUGAAAGAGUUUUAAUAUAAAUAGUUUCGUUAUAUGAAUGAGUUUUAUAAUUUUAAAACAUAAUCUCUUUAUAGAUAUUUUUCCAGAGUUUUCUAACUUUUCUCUAGGAUUUCUCGUUCUCUAUUCAUCUGAUUGAAAAACCAAGAUCGUAGGAUUGAUCCUUGUGGUGAACUUUUUAAUUCGGAUCGAUCAGUUUCUCAAAUAGAGUAAGUUCAUUUUCUACACUUUUUUUGGUCUAUUUUGUCUUCUUUUACAUGCAAGUCUGUUGUAGUUUGAGUCUUUUAUAAGAUUCUUUGCUUAUCAGUGGUCCUAAAAGUGUACUUGUAGAGCUAUUUUAGUCUUUCUAUAGCGGUUUGGUCUUCCAUAAGGUAAAGAAAGCUAAAUACCUCACUUUUGUCGUUUUAGUAAUUUGAUAAUUUGAGUUGGUGUGUUUUAUUUGGAUUAAAUUGACUAAGUUGUACAAAAUUAAGUAAUAAGCUUGUUGAAAUUUUGUGUGUUAUAGCAUGAUUGUUUGAACUUUGUUUGUAAUGUAAGUUGUCUGGUAUAUGAAAAACCUUGUCAUAAUUACUUGUGAAUUUUACAUGUUUUGGGUUGCUUGAACUGGGGAAAUUGAUGUUAUAAUUAAUUAGGGAUUGUUGUUGGAUUGUGGUAUGGUAAAAGGUUAGUGUUAUAGUUGAUUUUUGGACUAAAAGUUGUGGUUUGACAAGUGAAAUCCCAUAGGAAUAGUUUAUUGAAUGAAUUUAAUGAUAAGAGUUUGUAUUUGUAUCAAUUAUAACUUGGUUAGCCACUUAGUUGACUAAAAUUGGGUCUUUAGGAUGUUAGUUGUUGUUUGGGUCUGUGGUAAAGUGUUGGUUUUGGUAUAAUGGAUUGAGUUAUUGAUCGAAUGAUCAAAUUGAUAUCCAAUCCAAAUGUUUAAACAUAUUUUCCAAAUAAUAACCGAGAUAAGGAUAUCAAAUUAGGUCAUUUGGUUAAGACUGGAGUACACAUAGAUCAGGUUUAGAGCUGCUGGUUUUUGUGUGGCAUUGAGGGGUAUCUGAGUGGUGUUGAGCUAUGCAAAGUCAGAGAACCAAUGGACUCCAGAGCAUUGAGUGACCAUUUUGGGCACUAAGCCUGUGAAGACAGUAAGAUCUUUAUAUUUUUGGCAUUGAGGGGCACUUAAGGUCACUGAGUGUUGCAAAGACAGUGGGCUCUCUAUUUAAGGGGCACUAAGCGUGUUGGGAGGUGCUGAGCGCCACUUCGUCAUUAUAGGUAUGGACUUCUUUUUCCUUUAAUUCACUGGGCGAGGGGUUAUCUCGCUGGGUGAGGAACCUUGCUCAUUGGGUGGCAGAAUCUUGCAGUUGGGCACUCUAUUUUAGGGUUGUGUAGACGUUUUCCUUAUUGUUGAUUCCUUGUUUGAUUUGAAUUGGUUAUUUUGAUUUAAUGUAUAUUUAAAUGGAAAUGUUGACGCUUUAUGGAUUUUAAAUAUAAAUAUAAAUAUGGUUAAAGUAUGAUGGUAAACAUGUAUGGUGCUCGUUUGUGUAUGAUAUUAUGAUGAUUAUGAGUGUGUUAUUAAUCGUGAAUAUGGUAUACAUGUUUGAUGGAGUUCCAUGGAUCUUGUGAAGACAUUAUAUGGUGUAGGAGGUCUAAAAUAAAGAAUUAUUUUAACACUCUUAAUAACUUCCAAUUUCAAGUACAAAACGAUGGUUAUGUCGUGAAGAGUAGUAGGAGGUCCUUAGUCUGAUGGUCAUGUAUUGACAAUAGAUGUUUGACAGAUUAAUCUUGGUGUGUGAUAGUUUUAUGUGGGCGGGUUGUUUCACCACGCACAACGUAGAUACCCCAAGAGUUCGACAUAAAUACAUGUAUUUGGAUGGUCAAGUCUAGAAAUGAUUGUAUGUCCUAAGAUUGAUUGACUUAUCUAUGUUAUAUGCUUGUUUCUAUAUAGGUGAAAUACGAUUGUUUUUAGUACAUUAUCUUAUUCUUUCCUUUCUGUUUGUUUGUAGUGUGUUCCUUCUUGUUUGCAAUGAGCACCUUAAUGGUAUGAGCAAAUGAAGAUGUUUUAGUUGAUUUUGUGUAGAACGGGAGUGAUGCUGAAGCAUAAAGUAGGAUGCUUAAUCUCAGUGUAUAUUAUUUUUUUUUUUAAACUCAAUUACGCUUUUAGUUUUGGUGUAGUAGUAUUUUUUAGAAAUAUAGAAUCUCUGUAAAUAUGUUCAAUUACUAUUACAGUAAUGUUUGAGAUAAUUGUAAUAGACUUUUGUAUAUAUUAUUUUUUAAAAUUUUAUCCUCUUAUUUCUUUUCUAAGUAAUACUUUUUUAGUAGUUUUAUAUUAUUAAAAUUAAAUGCACAAUAUGUAUAUAAAAUACAUUUUUAAGUAUUAUACUAAAUGUUUUUAUAAUUAUUAGAUGUCUUAACUAAUUAAAUUUCUGCAUCAUCCAAUAGUUCGUUCUAAAAAUUGUUAAUAUCAAUAUUUUAACAUGAAAGAUAAUAUAUAACUUUUAUUCACAUUUUAUUUAACAGCGAUAAUUAUUAAAUAUGUUUUUCUUUUACUUAAAAAAUUGUUUGCAAUUAAUAACCUUUAUUAGAGUCUAUUUUUAAUUGUUGGAAAUAGAAAUAUGAAAAUAUGCGGACAACAAAAGCUUGUAAAGCGCCUAAAAGUAGAAAACAAAAAUACCCUAAAUGAACUGUAAAUCUUUUUGUGUUAAAAUAGUAAACUUUUUGAAAAUAUAAUAACUUUGUUUUGAUAAAAACACAUAAUAUACAUUGAAUGUGAGUGUGAAUGUAUGAGAUGUCAAAUUUCAUAAUAAUACUUGAUAGGAUUUUAUUUAAAAAGACAUAAGAUAUAAAAUAUGAUAAAGAAAUUUCUCCACUUUCUUAAUGAAAACAUAUUAAAGAAGAAAACAGCAUAAAAAUAUCCAUUAAUUAGUGACAAACAUUCUAAUAUGUGAAUCUAUAAUUCUUAUAAUUGUUUUGAUCAUUACAUGAAAUUUUGAUUCUUUCACGUUAUAAAAUAUUAAAUACAUUUACAUGUUUUGGAUAUUUUUAUAAUUAAAAAUUAUUAAAACAUAAUGUAUAAAAAUAAUAAUAUUAUGUAUAAAAGUUUUGUACCAACCGUUUGACUAACUGAUAUUGACUAACCAACUUUUGACGGAUAGAUAGACACCAUAGAAUGAGUUUAUACACAACUAGAUUGGUGACGAUGUGACCCACAACAACGUUGCCUACUAAGUAAUUAUGACAUUUGUAUUGGUAUAUCAAACAAUAUAAAUUUUAAUGUAAAUAUAUCGUAUUUUAUUACAAUAUGUUAAAGAUUUAAAAACUGCCAAUUUUUUUAAAUAUUAUUUUAAAAAUAUAAAAAAAAAUUAUAAGUUUCUUUUAACAAUUUUAUAAUUAAUAAUCAAAUCACCUAUUUUAUUUAAAAAUUCAAACAUGGAUUAAAUUGAUAAUGUGACUUUUCAUAAUCAUGUUUUUAAACUUUUAAUUUAGACUUUUGAGUACUAAAUUUACCUUUGAUUUAGGUAAUCUUUUAUGGACUAAGAAAUAAGAAUAUUUGUAGGAACAUCUGCAUCAUGUUAUUAUAAUGACAUGGAGAUACUUUUCAUGAUAAAACAAUUUAAAAUUAAAGAAUAAACUCUAAGAGCAAAGUAAAAUCAAAUCAAUCCAUAAAAUGUUAUCAAGAGACUCUAAAUUGGAGUCAAAAGUCAUAAAUAAUGAAAACCCUUUUUAUUUAGUAGCAACAUCCUUUGUUGCAUACUUGAAGUUAAAACUAGAGUUCAAAGUUAUGUUAAUUAGUUCUAAUAUAGUUUUAAUGUAAUUGUAUUUAUUCUCAAAGAAUGAUAACUCAAUCUUCAACAACUUCUAAAAAUAAUAUAAAAAAUUUGUUUAUUUUUUAAAGUUAGGAUGACAAUGUAGGUGGAUUAUGUGAGUUAAUAUGUUAGUUUAUUAGAAAAAAUUGCAGAGAGAACAAAGUAUUUUGAUUUGUUGGUAUGUUUAGACUAAUUUGUUGGUUUUUUUAGAUUUAUUUCACAUUAUUCGUAACUUUUUUUUUUUUUUUCAUUUUUCUUCACUUCAUGUUUGAAUUCCUAAGUUAGUUCUCUUGUGUAUAAUAAACAUUGAUUAAUUGCUAUAGUUUCUUUUUUUUUUAACUUAGAUAAUAAUUUAUUUUUAUGUUUUUUAUCAUGAAAAGUUUAAUUUUGACAUAUUUAUUUUAUGUAAAUGUUAUUAUUACUUUUACUUACCUUAUUUCAAUUUAAUUGUCAAUGCUAAACUCAUGUCAUAAUAAAGAUGUGUAACAUUAAAACCAGAUUAUUCUAGUAACAUUUGUAUAUUAUUUGUUUAUUAUAAUAAUAAACAAAAUAGAAUAAAAUAAAAGUACCAUUAUAAAAAUUACAAAAGCAUAGACAAAAUGAAACUAUUUCAAUGAUGACAGUGAUACACACUCUUAUGAAACAAAUUGCAUUAUUUCUAGCUAUUUAUAAACGGCAAAUAAAAAUUGUUUAUUGUGUGCAUUAAGGAAAAUAAUUAAUAACAGUGUCACCAUAUACUGAGACAAGUAUAGGAAAUUGGUAUAAAAGUGGAAAAUAUUUAUAAUAAAUGAAAUGCUAUGAUAUUGAAGAAACAAAAUAACAAUGAGCAGUAUAAGUUAUGUAUUUAUACUGUUUACGUGUAUAUGUAUAGCUACUAGUACUUUGAUGGUUAAUACUCAUGCUACACCAAAGUUUUUAACUUCGUGUACUAUUAUAGCUGCUAAAAGUUUCCAUACAAUGUCUUUUUUUUUCCAAUUGGACUUGUAUAAUUUUUUUAUUCAAAUACAUUAUCUAUCCAUAAGAAAUACUUAAUUUAAAAAUUAUUAGACAAUUUGACACUAUAGUUUCAUCUAAUCUUCAUCCGAUAUGUAUAUAUAUAAAAUCAAUCUAAUUAAGCAUUUUACUUAAUUUAACAGAGGCGUGAUAUUAUUCAAAUAAUAGAGGCAUGAUAAUUUAAAAUUAUCCAAUAAUAUUUCAUUAAUAUCUAGACGUAUUUUUUAUUUUAUUUUUAACUAAAAGAGUGAUAAAAUAAUAUGUUAAUCUUAUUAAUCAAAUAUUGAUUUUAUAUGUAAAUAAUCAUAUAUUAAGAACUCCUAUUAAACAAAAUUAAAUAUGUUAUGAAUUAUAUUAUACAUUUAUGUACUAAAAAUAUAUGAUAUGUGUAGUAAUUAAAAGGUAUUUUGAUAUUUCAUUAUUAGACAUAGAAAAAUAUUUAUUAGAAAUUUACAUAUACAAGGAAUUUAAAGAUAAAAUCACAUCACUUUUUUUAUCACAAGGAAUUUACAUAUACAAGUAUAUUUUUACUCUUACACUUUUUUUUAUUUCUAAUAAUUAUCAUGUAUGGUUACAUAAUUCUAAUAAUAAAAAAAAUAACUAUAGUACUAGUAAUAUUCGUUUAUACAAGUAUAUUUCUACUCUUAUAUUUAUUCUUAUUUUUAAUGAUUAUCAUCAUUUAUCAUUAUAUAAUUUUAAGAAUAAACAUAAUAGUAAUGAUACGUUGGGGUUGUUAAUAAAGUUUUAUUACUAUACAAACACUAAAGAAUAAAUGUUUGAAUAAUUCAAUGAUAGUUAAUCAACUUAAUCUCUAAUCCUUAUAAUCUCUAACUAUAAAUUGUCAUAUAUGUUAUUAUUGUGAUUAUCUUAAAAUUUAUUUUAAUAAUUACUUUUAAUUAAUUAAUCAUGUGUAAUAAAGCUUCCCUCUUAGAGAAUGUGGCCAUUAUUUAUUUAUUGGAACUUCUUUUAGGUUGUGGAUAAUUCUGGCCCAAUUAUCGCUCCAAUCCUGUAAGAAGACACAUUUUCUCUAGGCCUAUUUUACAUAUUCUGAUUAGGGAAUUUCCUUUUUCACCCCAUAAUUUUAUUUGUUCAGCAGCGUUAAUAACACAAAAAAAAUAUUACUCUGUCUUUAAAAAAUAACUUUCAAAGUAAUCCAGAAAUUUAUUUAACUUACUUAUGGAUUAUGUAAUUCAUAACUCAAUUUAUUUUAAAUUAUUUAAUUUCAAAAGCAUUUUAUUUUGAAAUCUUGUGAUGCCCUAUACGGUUCAAGAGUAUUAGUGGUUUUAAUAAAAAUAGAACACUAAUAUCAUAUUAAAAGGUUUAAGUUAUAUAAUGACUUUUUAAUAACUAACGUUUAUUUCUAUAAAACCACCAUCUCUACAACCAAACUUUUAAAUUCUUUUUGUGUUCUCUCUAGUUUAUCUUAAACAUUUUUCAUUUACUUGAAUAUUAAGAACUAUAGUCGUGAUUCUCAUAAGGAGUUCUACACAACCACCUGAUCAAAGAAUUGAACAAAAUAAGUCUUGCUUUUGUCCUCUUUUAAGUUUUGAACCUCGGAGUUGUAUUUGGUUCUAGAACCAUGCAUGUGAUUCAAAGUUGUUCUUAAUGACUCUUUAUCACUCUCUAAUAUUAAUGGUAGACUUAUAACUUCAAUCAGAUUUUUUGUUGUUUGUUGUUUUGGGAGACAUCUUUGGCUGAAGUAAGAGAAGCUAAUUUGUAAUUAUCCUUAAUUUGUUUAUUGAUUAUUGUAUUAUGACAUUGAAAUUGUGCUUGAUUAAUUAACAUAUUUGACAAUUAUAAUUGGAUUUGAAAUGUAAAAUUUGUCUUGAUGGAAUUUAUGAAGGGAGGAGUGAACUUGUGAAGGGAGGAGUGAACUUGUGGAUUAAUUAACAUAUUUUUGGACAAAUUUGAAUUUGUCCAAUAUGUAUAUUUGGUGGUUUAUAAAGUGUGGAAUUGGUUUCAUGACUAAGAUUGGAGUUUAAAUAUAUGAAAUGUUAAAUGUAUAGACAUAUUUAUGUGUUUAAUUUGAUUUUGAGGUGUGAAAGGAGUGAAUUUGUGAAUGCUAUAUUUUUGGCAAAAAUGAGUUGUUCAACAUAAUUUUAGCGUGAUUUAUGAUUUGUGUGCAACAUGAGUUUUGGUUUUUGGUUUGUUUGGCAUUUUUAAAUUACAAAAUUUUGUGGUAUACUUUAUGUAGACCCAUUGGACGAGCUUAUAUGCUGGGCUAGCUUAUAUACGUCGGGUAAGUGCUAAUUUUGAGUAUGGAAGAGAAACAAGUGACACUUUCUCAUUGGGCAAGCCAACCUCUUGCUAGGUGAGUUGGAUUUUCUAGCUCUAAGUCAUAUAGGGAACAUUAGGAUUCCUGCUUCAUUAAUCGUCAAAUUGAGCUGAAAUUUUGACAACAAGCCUUUGGAAUAUGAUUCUUUGUUUUGAUCAUUGAGAUAUUUGAUUUGAGUUCUAUAGUUUGAAAUUUUAGUCUUUUAUGAUUUUUCUAUUUAAGGUUUCUCUUUUAUGAAGAGAAUUUAUACUAGACGUGUUAGUAGGUUGUUAUGUACUGUAGUGGUCUUAGGUUGAUCUUGAUAUAAAAGUCUAUAUUUUGGGAAUGAUAAAUGUGUGUGAUAUGAAGGGUAAAUAAAGCAUCCUCAUGUGAUGAUAUAAUUUUAUAUAUAUUUUGUGGAUGUGUUUUGAAUAUAUGAAUGAGGAGGAAAUAAACGAGUAUAAAAAAUAUCAAAGGUUUCAAGGAGGUUAUUUCAAUAUAAAGUGGUAUGGAAGUGCAUGCCUGGAGAGAAGUAUACUAAUGAAAAUUGAAAGAAUGAAUGGAAAAUAAAAACAGAUAAAAGAAAGAGAAAUGGAAACUUAUGACUUGUAGACAUGUCACUUGAGAGAGGACUCCAAGAUAAGUGUCGAGGAAGGACCACCACUUGAUUUGCUCAAGAUAAGGUUUGCCAAAAUGGAGUAAGUGACAAAAGACUAUCUCUAAGAAGAAUGCAAGAGUUCAAUUCAACUCAAAAUUUCAUUGAUUUCAAAGGUAAGUACAAAGGAGACCCCCUAGGCUUCUUAUAUAGCUUUUGGAAUGAGUUUGGUGAAGAGUUUCAAGAGAUGUGGGACUUGGAAGGCUCCAAGGUCCAUCCAGCAGCUGCAACACGUCCCCUAGGUGCUUGGAGCCCCACAUUGCUUAAUUCUCUCAUUCCAAAAGGGUUUAUAAGCUACCUAACUCUCUUAAAGUUCAAAAAAUGAAAACUAGCUAUGCUUCCUUGUGCUACAAGCUAAGACGCCUACUUCCUUCUCUUUUCUUUUAAGACCAAGCCAUGGAAAGUCCCACAUUUCUUGUGCUUAAAGGAAAAGAAGGGUUUAUAAGCGUUUAUUCCACUAAAACUAAUGAAAAGAAUCAAAGAGGCAAAUACAAGUCUAUUAAACCCAUUCUACUUUUUUUGUACAAAUGUGUAAAGAAGACAAGAAGUAAAAUGAUUUCCUUUAACCAUGCUUCUUGUCAUCCUUUUAUUCUCUUCAUCGAAAAGAAAUCAAAGAGGCAAAUACAAGCCUAUUAAACCUAUUCUACAUUUUAUGUACAAAUGUGUAAAGAAGACAAGAAGUAAAAUGAUUUCCUUUAGCCAUGCUUCUUGUCAUCCUUUUAUUCUCUUCAUCACUUGCCUUCUCUAUGAUCACAUCAUAAAGGGAUGUGAUAUAUUGCUUUGUUUAUGUUUUAGUUGCAUGGCCAUAUUCUUCCAAGGAGGAAAGGUAGGAUAAGAUAGUUAGUGUUAUGCAAUUUCUGGAGAUCUUAGAAACACAUGACUUCGAUGGGCGACAUGUUGAUGAAGAUAUCUAGCACUUUAGAUGAAGACUUUUCCUGCAUGAACAAAGACUUAACACGAGGAAAAAAAGAGAACGAAUGAAUAUUAUUGAUGUAAAAAUUAUCUGUGUACAAAGCGAAAAAAGAAGGAAGAAUAUAUACAACAUAAGGUCUACAUAACAGAAAAGGGCACAUAAACCUAACAGAAUAAUAGAGAAGAAUGCAUAAACUUGACCAUAUAAGCUCAACCCAUAUGAGCCCGACAGUACAAGCUCAACUCAUUUUAUUUUUGUUAUUUUGAGAAGGGACACUCCUGUGAAGCUAUGCUGAACUCUACUAGAUUUACAAACUCAUAUAGAGGAUGAGAUCUAGGUGGUGAAGAGUGAAAGGGGUUCCUAUAGUUGGUUAAGGAGGUUAGUAUGGUAUAGAGAGCUAACCCUAUCAAAAGGAGGUUCGAUGACCUAGUAAAUUUGGGUUGGUUUUGACAUAUCAUAUCAUUAUAUUAUUUUGAUUGUUCUAUAAUAGUUGCACAACUUCUAGUAUCCGACCAAUUACAUAAAUUCAUAUAUUGAAUCUAGUGUUGUUAUCGAUUAUAUGUUUGUGAAUAGUGUGAUGAGAUAUUUAUGUAUUUCUUGUCUUGAUUAGGUGAGAUUGAGAUAAAAAAUUGUUUAUAUACGUUUAUAUUAACAUUAGCUUUUCCUAUUUUUUUUGUUGUUUUUUUUUUCUUCUUUUGUAAUGAUCAUUAUUAUGAUAUAAGAGGAGGUUCUAGUGAUAGUAGUCACUAAAAGUGGUUGAAAUGUAGAAUUCUUGUUUGUUUAUAAUUUUUGAAAUGAAUGUAGAAUAAAUAUAUAUAUAUAUAUAUAUAUAUAUAUAUAUAUAUAUUUAUUUUUUGAGAAUCUGACUAUAAUAAUAACAAUAUUUAUAUAUGAUUGUAUAUUAAAUCUUCUCUGGCCAUAUUUGUUUUUAUAUAAAAAAUAUAAGUAAUAAAGACCUAUUUUUUUGCUUAAAAAAAUUAAAUUAUACAAAUUAAAAAUUCGUAAAUAUGUUCUAAUUUUAAUAGUUUAAAAUUUUUACUUUCAAAUAAUUUUGAAUUAUAUAAUUUAAAAAUAUUUUUAUAAGAUAGUAACUUUUAAAUUGUACAAAGACAUUUAUUUUGAUUCAUACAAAUAAAAAUAAAACACAGACACUAGUGCAAAAACGUUGUUUAACGUUGGUUAUUUUGGACUUUUAACGUCUAAUCUUAAACUGACGUUUAAACCGGCGACGUCAAUGGGACGUCAGACAUCCUAACCACAGACGUCUAUAAUGACGUUAGUUAGUGCCCACGAACGACGUCAAUAAACGUCGGCACUGGUUUGAAUGGACGUCUAAAGGCACUAAUUAGACGUCGAAUAACGCAUUAACCGACGUCGAAGAGCAUAUAUAGACGUUGAACAUGGCAAAGGCCGACGUCUAAGAGCACAUAUAGACGUCGGUUUUUGCAUUAACCGACGUUUAAUACAGUGAUUGUGUUUUAGUGCAGUUUUGUUCCCGUCUUUGGACAGCCUAGUAGCACAAUCUCCUUUUGCUAGUUUCUCCCAAAAAAAAAGCUUGCGUCUUUUGAAUUUCUUAUGGUCCCUUCAACCCAAAACCGAACCUGGGUGGUUGCUUAGUUUCAUUUUUCUUCCGCAAGAGGAAAAAAUCACGAUGAAACGAAAACUAGACAACGACCCAGGGUUGUUUUUGGAUUGAAACGAUAAAAAGAAAUUCAAAAGACUUCACUAUUUCCGGGAGGCAGCUAGCAAAGGGAGAAUGUGUUACUACGUUAUCCCAAGAAAGGAACAAAACUGCAUUAAAACACAACACAAAGAAAGCAAAUUUUAAUCAGUUGAACCAGAAGAUAAUCGAUGAAAAACAAACGGUAAGCAUAAGAAAAAACCACGCACCUGGGAUGCAAUGUUGCAAGAGAGAAAAAGAGAGGAGGAAGACGAUAAAGAUAUCAGAAACAACAAUAAAAUGCCGCAACAAAAAGAAGACGUGCCGAAAGGGAGAAAAAGAAGAGUGUCGCGAGAGAAAAAAGAGAAGAGGAAGAGGAAGAUAUCAGAAACUGAAUGCCGUGAAGAGUUUGCGGUCUUUUUAAAAUGAAAUUGGGCGUCAGUUUCUCUAGAUAGCCGACGUCUAUAUGAUUAUAGACGUUAGUUCUGUUACUAAUUCGACGUCCAAGUUAACUUUUCAACUGACCUUUUGAAUCCCACUAGAUGUCGGUCACAAUGGGAACCGACGUCUAGGAAGCUGAAACGAUUGAUAUUUGAUUUCCUGUUAGGGAUGUUGACGACAGUUGUGAUGGGGCGCCGAUGUCUAUAAUGAUGCGCAUCAUUACUUACAGGCACAUAGACGUCGGUGUCCCUUCUAGCCAACGUCUAUGGCCCUCGAAUUUGGUGAAUCUAAUUAAUUACAGACACUUAGAUGUUGCAUGCACAGAUCCCCGAUGUCUAAAUUGAAGAUUUUUUAUCUUCCCGCCUUCCAUAUUCAGGCCGUAGACGUCGCCUGUUGACUAAGUGACGUCCAAGCGCCUGAGAAUUAGGUGAAAGCAUUAAUUGCAGCCCAAUAGACGUCGGCCCCGUGAACACCGACGUCACGAGACUGUCUUCUGACCUACCUCAGGCCAUUAGACGUUUGUUUGCAGCAGUUAGGACAUCUACAAUAUCAUAGACGUUGCUUUGUCUGGAAACCGACGUCUACGUUACCAAGAUAUUUACGAUAAUGUCACCGUCCACUCAUAUACGUCGGGUUAUCAACAAACCGACGUCUAUUGAAUGACGUUAAACAAUAUUUUUACACUAGUGAGACAAAGAUAGUGACAAGAUGAUGAAACACAACGACACACAGACUAACAGUGGUAAGGGGUGAUGGCAACAGCGGCAGUUUGGUCUAUUAACUACUCCAUGGAAAUGCACAUAAAAAGUAUGGCGUGGCAGAAAGAAAUGGGCUGAUAACCAUGGCGGAAUUCAUUGGUUGGUCCUUUUGUGUAUUGCUAUUUACACUCUCUUUACAUAAGUUUUUCAUUUCCUCCUUACAAAAAUCCUCUUCCCAAAUAGCAUGUUCUGAAAGUUUAUUUUGUAACGAUUAAAUGUUAAAUUCAUUUUAAAAAAGUGUUAUUUUAUGAAAUUUUAAUAACACUUCCCAAAACUAACUAUAGGUAUCAAAUUUUGAGCCUUGUUACUGGAAACUUAAGUAUGAUAUAACAACUUAGUAAUAUGUAAUAAAAGAAUGAACACAAAUCUCUUUGUUAGAUCUAAUUGAUUAAUCAACCAUAAAUAAUUUUAAACAAUGCUGACAUAAUCUAAAGCACAGUGUUGUUACAAUUGCUUUUGUUUUGGCACCAAUACAUUUAACAUGUUUCUAAUGGUAAACUUGUACUCUUCAACAUAAUAGCAUUUAUUAAGUGGGGAUAAAAUAAUCAAAAUCUUUCUACUUGAUUAUAACCCAUAGAUAAUUAAUUAUCUAGGUUGUUCAAAAUAUACCAUGUUUUAUUAUUUUUUACUCAAUCAAUUAUUCAAAAAUUAUAUAUUAAUAUAUUAUUUAUAACCAAUGAGAUAUAAUUGAUUAUGAAUUUAUUAUAAUCUAUUAUGCACUCAUGUAAUGUAAAAUUUUCAAAAAUUUCAUAUUUUAGGAAAUAUUUUUGCUUUAAAAAUUAAAAUUAAAAUAUAAUAUACAUCCAAAUAAUCAUUUUGUACUUUAAUUUUCUUAAUUAUACCUUUUCCUUAAAAAAAAAUUACAUAUUAUCAGUUUGUGUUGGUUGUUUAUUUAGUUACAUUUCUUAUAAACAUCAAGAUUAAAAAAAAAUCAUCUCAUAAAGAUGUAAAAUUCUAUGAAAAUAUUUUUUCUUUUCAAAAUCUUCAUAUACACCCAAAUAACCAAGAUGUUUUUCAAAGUGUUGUUCCUAUUUUUAAUCAUCCUGAAGUUAAUGAUGAUGAUUUACAUAAUUCAACAUAUUAGUUCCAUAAUUAUACUAUUCAUAAUAAUGUUUUGCACACUUCUGCUCCUCAUCACAAAAAUGCUAUAGUUAUAGUCAUCUUUAUUUUAUGAAUGAUUAUCAUUGUUACGAUGUAAUAACUUCGAGCAACAUUCUAGAUCUUAUACAAACUACAUUUGUCAUAUUUCUAUUAAUUUUGAACCACAAUCUUAUUAUCAAGCCAUAAAAUUUCCAUAUUGAAAAGUUGUUAUAGAUUAUUUUCAUGCUAUGCUGUUAAAUAAUACUUCCUCUAUCAUUCCUCUCUCCCUAAAAAGCAAUCAUUAGAGUUGUAAAAAAGAUUACAACCCACGCAUCAACCAGGUCCACCACGGGUUCGAGUCGGGUUAGAUUUGAAAAAUUGUAUUUUUUUUAUGCGGAUAAGAUUUUAACCCAGAUCAUUUAAACCCUAAAUUUAUUUUAUUAAAAUUUUAUUUUAUUUUUAUGAAAAGAUAUUUAUUAUUUUUUUUUUGAAAAAAUUAUUUAAGUUUCCUAUUUUAAAAAUUAAUUACACACUCAUGUUGGCAGUGUAAUUUGGGAUUAAAAUUUGUUUAGAUUUGAAUUAUAGAAUGUUUGUAAUUUUUUUAUUUAAAAAAAUUGUAAUUAAGGGAGUUAGUGAACCAACCCGUUUACCCACCAACCCGUGGUGGGUCGGGCUGGGUUCAAAUUUUUCUGACUCGCUAAUAAAUGAGUCAGGUUGGGUUGGUUCACUAAGUGACCAACCCGUGGUGGGUCGAGUCGGACCGGGUUACCUCGUUUUGACAGCUCUAGCAAUCAUAAGUUGUAAACGAUUUUUUAAAUUGGAAUUAACUUCUAGGACAUCUAUUGCUAAACAUAAAGCUAGGUUUGUUGCACAUUGUUUUACACAAUAAUUUAGAAUUGAUUUUUGAGAAACUUUUAUCCAUAUGUUGCUCAUGUUACUUUUCUUAAACUUCUUUUCGUUACUACUUAUAAACAUUGACAUCUUGCUCAAUUUAAUAUUAACAAUACUUUUCUUGAUGACAAACUUAAUGAAGAAACCUUUAUGACUAUUCCUCAAGAUUAUCAUCAUGGUUUUUAAUCUACAUCUAACCAAUUUUUAGUCUAUAAAUUUCAUAAAUGUAUAUAUGACCUAAAACAAGUUUCUAGAAGUUGGUUUACUGCUUUUUCUUUUACUCUUACCUCUCACAAUUUUAAUUAAUCCAAGUAUAAUUAUUCUCUUUUUACCAAAGGGGCACACAACACCUUCAUUGUUAAACUUGUUUAUCUUGAUGAUAUUGGAAUUGCUAGCCCUAGUCCAACUAUUAUUAAGUAUGUUAGGUUCAACACUUUUUUAAAUUCUCAAUUUUUUUUUUCUUGAACUAAAGCUUUCUAAAUCCAAAAUAGGUAUUUUUAUGUGCCAACAACAUUACAUUCUCUAUUCUUGAGGAUUGUGGCACGUUGGGUUGUAAGCCUUCUUGUAUUCCUAUGAUUGUCAAUAUUAAACUCCAUGAAUCUUUUGGAACUCCUAUCACUGACCCAUCUGUCUAUAGACACCUUAUUAGAAGGUUACUAUAUUUAAUCACUCUAUUAAUUUAGGUAAGUAUGCAUUAUACCUUUUCCUUAAAAGAAGUUACAUAUUAUACAAGUUUAGUUUGUGCUAGAGUUUAGUCUAUAUUGGUUGUUUGUUUAGUUAUGUUUCUUGUAUAGUUAGUUUAAUUGGUUUUAGUUAAGAUAGCUUUUGUUUUUCUUUUUAUGCUUCUGCCACCAAGCCCUGUGAAGGAAGAUAGAAAAUACUUUUGGUAAUCUUCAAUAAACUUUUUAUUCUUUCCUUUGCUAUGGUAUGCUAGUACAUAUUGUUUAGGCAACCGCAAAAAAGAUAAUACAUUUGCAAUGAAGAUUUUUUAUGUGGAUUAAAAAAAUGUUUUCUAUGUUAGUUUAAGUAUAAUCAACAUGGAAAUUCUUAUAAUUUAUUAUGAAAUUACUGUUACAUCAACUUUUUAUGUUGAUUAUAAUAAUAAUCGACCUAAAAUUCUUAUCAUAUUUAUAAUUCUAUCACCACUUCAUUUAUUAUGGUAGGUGGAUAAAACUGACAUAAGAAGUUAUCAUAAAAAAUUAUUGGUGUAAAAACUAAUUUUGUGUUUUUUUACUAUAAACCAUUUCUUAACUAUUAUAUUUCAAUUCACUAGAUUUCGUGGUAUUGAAAUAGUUAGUCAUUAAAUCUUAUUAAGCUAAAAGAAAUAUAAACUUGUAAAAAGCAAGAAAAAAAACUCUUAAAGGUGUAUUAUGCAACUAGAUUCUUUGAGUGACAGUCUACCAUAAUAUUAGGAUAUGUUGUGUGAUAUAAGAAAAUAAAAUCUAGGGGACACUGGUAUCAAUUAGGAAGUACUACUACAAGAAAAACAUAUUAUUUUGGAAAUUUAACGUCUAACAGCACCGACGUCUUAUUGGAAGAUCUCAAUUUAACGUCGAGUGUAUAGUAACAUACGUCAUUAGACAUCGGUUUUUUUAAAGAUAAAUUUGUUUUACAAUAAAACUAUACUGAAAAUCAAAAAAUGUUUCCAACACAUCACAAAAUUAUACAUACUAUGUGUUUUAUGUCAUUAUAAUACUAAACAAUCUAAAAAGCAAUUCAAAAUACUAACAAAAGUAUUAACCUUCUUGAAGGGUUGAAAAUGGAAAUAAUCGAAAGAGAAUGGACACAAACAAUACAGAAUGGGCACAAGUAAUGAAGAGGGGAAGUGUUGCUGCCAAGCUCCGAGAACUCGCGCACAAGAACUUUACCAAAAGCCAAUGAAAACGAAUUUUAAUCGGUGCAAAUGAAAGAUAACGGUUCCAAACGUAACGUAGUAUGUCCAAAAUGAUUUUAAAUAGUGCAAAGUGGAAGAAAACAUAACUGAACGUUAAUGGUGAAAGAGAGAAAGCAAAGGAAGAAGAUAAACGCAGCGAGAGAGAAAACGCGUAACUAGUGCUCACGUUCUGGAGUGGGUGAAAAUUCAAGGUAUUUGACGUCGGCUGACGUCGAGUCCCCUUGCCAUCUGACAUCUAAGUGGUAAAGAAAAUUAAUAUUUUUGCACCGUUUUGACGUUCGUGGAGAGGGGAGCCAACGCCUAAAGUCUAUAAACAGUGACUUUUUAGUUUUGGGUGCAUACCAUUUAAUGUCUGACUCUAAGGGAGUUGACGUUUAAACCAUAUUUGACGUUGAAGACUCCUAUAACCAAUGUCUAGAAUGCCAUUUUAUUUAUAAAACUGUCACCAAUGAUUUUUUACAUUGGAUUUUCUUACGUUAGACAUUAAACGCAUGACGUUAAACGUUAUUUCUACACUAGUGAAGAUUAUAAUAUUCAUAUUAGGUAGUUGAACACAAGAGAAGAAGAUGAGAGAAAAAAUGUUAUAACUUGUAUAAUUAUUAAUGUUUUAUUUUAUAAUUAGUUGUUAAUGGUUUGACUAGCGUAUUGAAUUGUUCAAGUAAUAAAACAUGGCAAGACCAAAUAUUAUUUUCCAAGAGACUUGUGUAAUACUAAAGAAUUGUAUGAUUAACAACUCAUUUAGACUAAAGAGCAGUGCAUGGAUUUACAAAUAUGUGCAAGGACAUCAAUUUAUAAAUAAUACAAUGUGGACUUUGGUAGUUGAAGACAUUUAAGAGUGGAAAAAGGUCAUAAAUGAUAUGGAUCGACUUUGCUAAGGUUAGGUUUCACCAACUCCACUCUUGUGCAUACACAAAUUUAUCUCCUCUCCAUUAAACAUUAAUGUCAACCCACACUUUAGCCCUAAUCCCUUAGGUGAAAUAGCCUAGAUUUUCCUAUUAAGCGUCAAUCCUUUGAUCACUCAACAAGCAAACUCGCAUUAAGAUCUAGACUUUAAGACAACAAAUGGGUCAUGUUCCAUCCCUAGAAUCCAUGUCCUCACUAUGUAUCUUGUUUCAAGUCUAGGUCACACAAGAUACGUCCUCAUACCUAAUGAACCACAAAUCAAGUCAUGAAUGUCCCCAUUACAUGCAAGCAUUAAGAUCGAAAACAAGAAAACUAGCAAUUAAUGGUAAAGGUGUGUGUGUGUGUGUGUGUGUGUGUGUAUAUAUAUAUAUUCAAAUCAUCCACACAAGAAUUCAAAGGUUACAUUUAUCCCCAACAAGAUGAGUUUGGCUCUCCAUUUUCAUGGAGAGCCUUAAGCUUACAAAAUGGUCAUGGAAGAAGAAGAAGAAGAAACCAAGAGGAGGAUGAGAGUGUUCCCACGAACCCUAGCAGCUCUCCAAGGUCCCCUCAAAGUGAAAUCGCGCCUCUAAACCACCAAAGACCCAUAUCACUUCGCAUUUUUGAGCUAAAUAGACUAGAUUUGCCACAUCAGCAAAAGUGGGCCUCAACGACAGCCCAUCAGUAGAAAGCCAAGAUGAAUGACGCUCAAUGGUAGCCUAACGGUAGCCUAGAGGAAGAAAGCCGAGACGAACGGUGCUCAGUGCCAGCCCAACACCAGCAUUCCAAAACUCUCCCUUUUUGUUGCUAUGCUUGCUUCUCUAGGUGGUUAAGUUCUUUAAAUUGGUGGAAGUUCUUUCAUAACACAAAAUUAGCUACAAAACAAGGGAAUUAGUGAUUAUAUUUAAUAAGUGUAGCCCAAAAUACAAUUAUUUAUAAAAGUAAAAUAAAAGAGAUGAUUAAGCAAAAUUCAAACUAGAAAAGAGAUGAUUUUGCAAAGAAAAUAUGGUCCAGAUAAUGGUAAGAAUUAACAUUAUCAUUAGUCAUCACAACAAGUCAGGUCACACAUGAAUAAUAGUUAUUCAAUACCUAAUCUGUAACAGGAAAUUUGACUUUUUAUCUGUUUGAUACCCAUUUAAAAAAUAUUUAUGAAUUUUAAAAAAUUAACUGAUAUUUAUGGAUACAUAUAGAUAUUUAAAGAAAUACAAAUAAAAUUUUAAAAUAAAAUUUAAAUAAAAUUAAAAAAUGAAAAUAAAAUAUAAUUAAAUUAAAUUAAAUAUAUAAAUUUAAUCGAAUAAAGUUUACAUUAAAUUUUAAUUUUAAAGAUAAUAAAUAUUUAUAGAUACAAAUAGUUUAAAUUUGUUUAUAAAUAAAUAUUAAAUUAUUCGUCAUCCGGAUCUAAAGUAUCACUUAUUACCUAAAUUUUCAUACCCUUAUUAGUUUCAUCCGUGUAUAUCCUUAAACAAUAGUAGAAACCCGGCACGCACAUGAAGAGAACCCAAUUCUCUUCUUCUUUACUCUUUAGAAAGCACAUCAUACAUAAUUUUGCUUUUAAUUAUUACUUCCUUUUUUAAGGGUAAUAUAAAAAUAAAUUAUUUGAUUUUCUUCAUUAUUCUUUUUGAGAAAAAAUAAUUUUUUUACGUUUUAUGUCAUAAAAAUAAAAAUAAAUUAAAGUUUAUUUAUAUAUAAUUUUAUAAAUAGUUUAUCAAAACAAAUUUAUAAAAACUUUAAAACAAAAAAAAAAUAAAAAAUAUACUUUCACAAUUAUAUCUAAAUAUAAAUAAUUUAUGAGUUUAUAAAAAAUGACUUAUUUUAAAAUUUUUUAUUUAAAAUUACUUUAUUUUUAAAUUUAAACAAAUUUAACAUAUAUUAUAUUUUUAAAAUUUCAAAAUAAUGAAAUUAUAUAUCUCAAACAUAAUUACAAUUAAAAAAUUAUUUGAAAAACUUUUUGUAAAAUCAACAUUAUAUGUUAUUUAGAAAUAACUUUCAUUUGAAGAUUUUUUUUCAGUUAUAGAUCGCUUUUUAAUUUUAUUGAGUACAUUAUUAGAAUUGUUUCCCAAAAUAGACAUUUUGCUGUUCAGUAUAUUUUUUGUUUUUGCAAAAGACUAAAUUUUUAUCAUGUCUUUUUUUUAACAACAUUUUCUUUUCUAAUUUUAUAAAUGUUUAUAUUUAUUUAUAAUAUUUAUAAUAAAUUACUUUAUUAUAAUUUCACAAUUUUUAUGUGAAUAUAAAUUUAAAAAAUAUAUAAUUAAUAUUUAUAAUUUAAUUGAGAAUAAUUUUUUUCGAAAAAUGAUAUAAUAAAUAAGAUAAUUUAAAUAUAUUGUAAAUAUAGAAAUAGAAAAAUUAUCAUAAUGAAUUAUUACAAUUUUGGAUUUUUUUGUAAAAUUAAUUUUGAUAAGUGUAUAUUUAUUUUAUUAAAAUAAUUUACGUAAUAAUUCUUUUGUGUGUAAUAAGUUAGAAAAAUAAAAUUAAAUAAUGAUACGAUUUUAGGAGGAAAUAUUUGAACUUUUCUUUCCUCAAGCAUACUGUUCCACCAAUAAUUACAUGUAUAUGAAUUUAAAUAAGAAUUUUCGAAUUUAUACCUUUUUUAUUUUAAAAUUCUUAUAAAAUUCUAUUAUGAAUUUUUAUAUUUUGUUAUAUUUUAAAUUUACAUAAUUUUCAAAAUAAAACUUUUUAAUUUUUUUUAUAUCUCUAUAAAUAAACCUAGAUGUGUAAGGACCUUAAAAAAAAUGGUAAGGCUAUUGGGCCUGAGUGGAGGCAGCCGACCCAUAAGACUAAGGGCACAUCACUUUAGAGAGUAGUUUUUCAAAAGUCUGAUUUCAUUUUAGCCAAUCCCUUUCUCUCUCUAAAAACUCAGAUUUUCCAUUCUUUCUGCCUUCUCUCUAAAAUCCCAACUCACUGAACCGUUUAAUUUUUGGUUUGAAGGUGUCUAAGCGUUCACAGCGUCAAGGGCUUCACUUUGAACCUAUUGGUUUCUCCGUUUCAUUCCGGUAAGUAGUUCUUUUGUCUCCUCCGCUACUUUCGAAACCUAGGGCUAGGGGUUCUACUGAUUUUAAGCAGAUAGAACUUUCCUUUCUUUGAUUUAUGUAACAUUCUAGCUCUAAAGAGCUGUUUUCACCACCUCCGUGGUGACUGUAGGGCACUGUUCAGGUUUUGCACUAGGGAGGGUAUUAUUAGGGCGUGUUCAAUUAGCUUACUGUGGAAACCCAAGGUAAUGGGAGAUAAUUAUGUUUCUUUGAAUUGAUUAUGUGCUCGGUAUGUCUAGUGAAGUUUAAUUGUUAUACUGUUUGAAUUGCAUGUUAGGUUUUAGGAAUAUUGGAUGGUAUGUGUUGAACUGUGAAACUGAUGAAAAGUAUGAAUAUGUGAAUUGGUAGUGUACUGCUUGAAAUCUGUUUUGAAUGAGUCUAAAUGCUGCAAAUUGGUAUGUUGAAAGUGUCUUGGUCGGAAAUCCUACUGUGUUGUGGUCUUGAUAGUACAAUGACAGUUUGGGGUAUCGUUUUAAGUAGAUUGAAAGAAAUUGAGGCGUUGAAACUGUACAUUUGGAGUCUAGAGUCCAAUAGGUUAGUUUGAAUAAUUUAAAUGAAUAAAUUGUAACUCGUUGAGAGCAUGUUUGUUGGUAGGAUAGAGGAGUCUUAAAAACCUGAGUUGGCACAUCCCUGAUCAUAGAGCAGCCUUAGCCUAGUCCAGUCAGUUGUGACUAGUCAUAUGUGCUGGCGUCGAAGAUGAGUCUGAUGCGUUCAGACAUUUGAGUCCUCUCUAGUGACCAAUUGGAAUGUGAGGAGGAUUGGGAGAAAGUAAGAUCUUUACUAUGAUGAUAAUUAGAUAAACAGUUAGAGAUUUAGAGGCAUUCUAAGUUGGCUAAAGGGAAGUGAGAAGGUGAUUUUGAAUAUUUGGAGUGCUGAGUGCAUUUGGUCUGUUUGGACAGUUUAGACAAGUCAUUUGUGACUUGUUAGGCAGAUAAAAUUGAACUAAAACAGAUUAGAAAUGGUAGAAUUGAAUUAGAGUUCAUAAGUCAUAGGAUGUGAUGUUUUGGAGUUGAAUUCAAGCCUAAAUCACUUUAGAAUCACUGUAUAAUUGAUAAAAUCUAUCUAGACAAGUUUAAAUAGGUCCAUAUCACAAAUUAGAGGUGUUAGAAGUUAGGUUAGAGGGUUAAAAGUGGUUGGAGAGGCAUGAGUUGCAUGAUUCUGCAGAACGUCUGAUGGGAACUCCUGAGGAGUUGAGUCUGUUUGAAGUAGAUCUGGAUCCUCAAGGCUUCCUUGACAAAGAUUGACGCAGCGGAAAAAGGAAAAGGAUCUCGGUAUUGAAGUAGAAAUCGAGAAAGACAAAGGAUCUAGGGUUUUAAUCGGUGGAAAACCCUAUAGACUCGAAGGAAACCCUAGAAGUGGGGAGAGACUCGAAUCCGACCGAUUAAACGGUGGAAACAUGAUUUUGAUCGGUGCAAAAGAGGAAUGAUCGGAGGAAAACAAGUUUAAUCGGUGGAACGUGGUGUUUAAACGGUGAGAAAGGUUUUUAAUCGGUGGAAAGUCAAGAAAGAGGGUGGAGGAAGGUGGAUCUGUGAAGAAAAUGAACUUACAGUGACGAACGGAGCGACAAUGGUGGAACAGCGUUUAGCGGAUGGCUGGAGAUGGAGAGAUGCGCUCUCGAGAGCGAGGAAGUAAAGCUCGAGAGAGAAAAUGAAGUGUGGAUCUGCGCGAGAAAUGAAGAAGACGUGGUGAUGACGCGACUGAAGCAUUGACGCGUGUGCGUGAUGUGGCCGUGGAGGAUUGAAUCUGCGUGGAGGAGAGAGAAUGGAGCACAAUGGAGUUUGGAAAGUGAAAUGGAAGAGGUGUGCUGGAAGGUGGCUAGAGGCGGUUCAUCAAGACUCUCUAGCAUGAACUUUCAAGAUAAUUGUGUCUGGAUUUUCUUCAACAGAAAUCACAAUUCAUUUACUCAAAAGUUGUGUUUACAAUGGUGGAGACGGAUAUUUAUAAUAACCCGUGCUCCAAGAGAAAUGGACUACAUGUACACUAAAAAUAAAAGAAAUACAUGAGGCAGUAUGCCAUCAUCCCCUCCCUCUUAAGAAAAGAUUUGUCCUCAAAUCUUGGGAGUUGCCUUAUAAAGACGCUCCUCAUAGUGUUGGGAGCAUGGCCAUCUUGUAGUGGCCUUAUUCCUUUAUUCCUUGGGAUAUAUUGUUCUUCCUCCUGGAUCAAACACAAAUCUGCAAUACACAUGAAAUAUAUCACNCAUUAAUAUCNAUCCAAGAAAGGAAUUUUCAAAAGUAAUAACUUUGAAAUAAAGACUUCUUAUAUUUUGUUUUGUAGUCUUGGAAAAAUCUAGAAGUCCAUAUUCACAAGUUAUUUUAUUUUUAUCUUGAGUUAUGUGUCUCCUCAAGGGUAACAUUAACUCAAGAAUCAAAUUGCCAUGUUUUGAAAAUGAUUGUUCAUGAAUGACAUUUGAUUCAAAAGAGAAGGUAAUAUUUGAAAACUCAAUAAUGAUUGGAAAAGAAAUAAAGAUUUGGAAACCUUCCCUUUUAGGUUCCAUGACUCUUGGACGAAUUAAAUUUUCUAUUUCUCUCUUGUCCUCUUCUUUCUUCUUUUCUUCUUCUUUUCUCUUUUUCUCUUCUCCUCAUUCUAGUCUCUCUUCUUGCUUUUUUCUCUCUACUUCAUCUCUCUCUUUCUUUUCUUCUUCUUUUCUUUCUUGCUCAAGCCGUUUAAAAUCUCUUUCUAUUUUCUUAUCCCUUAACUCUUGAAGUUUUGCCCUAAAUUAUAUUUCCCUAUGAAAGAAACCAUGAGCAGUUAAACUUUCAAGAAAUAUUUUGCCAUUUUCAAUACUCUC